This 73466-nucleotide long non-coding RNA is filed under the name Citrus maxima (pomelo). RNAcentral's name for it is "long non-coding RNA (CMAX_LNC003105)". The record is from RNAcentral. Lineage: Eukaryota; Viridiplantae; Streptophyta; Magnoliopsida; Sapindales; Rutaceae.
UGAGGAUGCUCCUGUGGAAGAUGUAAUCCCAAUUCUCGUGGCUGCCUUCCAUUGCCAACUGAACAAGCUUCGUUUUUUCUGCAUCCAGAGAAUUGCAAGGUCAAAUCUUGACAAUGUUUGUCUCGAGAAAGAGCUUCCCGAUGAAGUUUCAAGAGAAAUCAAAUCACUCCGUGUCAAAUCUAACCAGGAGUCUGAAGCUAUUAUAGCAGAAGUGGAUCCCAUGCAUGCAAAAAUAGUCAGUAGAAUCCACAAGGCGCUGGACUCUGAUGACGUUGAACUGUUGAAGCUUCUUCUGGAUGUAUCUAAUGUCACUCUGGAUGAUGCUUACGCUCUGCACUAUGCUGCUGCCUACUGCAACCCUAAGGUUUUUAAGGAAGUGCUCAAUAUGGGCUUGGCUGACCUCAAUCUUAGGGAUGCAAGAGGACGUACGGUGCUUCAUGUGGCUGCAAGGCGUAAUGAGCCAGAAGUGAUGGUGACUCUGCUGAGCAAGGGAGCAUGCGCAUCAGAAACUACAUCAGAUGGGCAAACCGCUGUAGCAAUCUGUCGGAGAAUGACAAGGCGAAAGGAUUAUCUUGAAGCUACAAAGCAGGGGCAGGGAACUAACAAAGACCGGUUAUGCAUUGAUGUCCUUGAGAGAGAGAUGAGAAGGAACUCCAUGUCUGAGAACUUGGCAAUGUCAUCAGAGGUGAUGGAUGAUGAUUUCCAAAGGAAGCUGGACUAUCUGGAAAAUAGAGGUGAUAAUUUCUUUACUGGUAUUAGUUCAUCACCUUCUCAGAGUUUGUGCAUAGCACACUUCUUUCUACUGUUUGUUUGUCCAUUCAUCUGGAAAAUAGAGGUGAUAUUCCUUUGCUGGUAUUAGUAAAUCAUCUUCUCAGAGUUUGUGAGUCCCUUCAUCUUAGGAUCUCAAACACACAUGGGCUCAUUGCUUGGAGCACACUGUUGGCCAGUCGUGUGAUUUGAUCCCUUUUUUGGAAUAGACAACUCUGAAUCCAUCUGAUCUAGGCUUGGCGGUUUGCACUGAACUGGUUUUUGAUGAAUAAUUGCACAAGACUUUGUCAUCAAAACUUUUAUUUUUUGGUUUUUUUGCCCCAAAAGUAAUGAGGUACAAAAAAAAUCUAUGCCUAUCCUGGAUGACUGCCAUAACAGCUUCUUAAUAUUUUGCAGUGGCUUUUGUACGGUUGUUUCCUUCUGAAGCUAGAGUAGCUAUGGAAAUAGCAGGUGCAGAUACCGCCACUGGCCUUUCAGCAUUAGGUCAGAAAGGACUAAGUGGGAACUUAAAGGAGAUUGAUUUGAAUGAAACGCCCUCUAUGCAAGCCAAGAGACGCCAAUUGAGACUGCUAACUCUGCUUAAAACAGGUAUUUAUAUACUUUAUUAACUUUUGCACCUUUCUAUUUACUGAUUAUCUUUAUAAUUAACUAAUACAUGUAUCCAGGUUUCUCCUUCCAUUUCUAAAAGGUUUCUCCUUCCAUUUCAUUAGAAGUAAAUUGGAAUUUCUUUAUAGUGCUCUGUUAGGUGUAAUCAGAUGUAUCAAAAGAGAAAGGGUAAUUGUUAGUACAUUGAUAUCUCAACAAAAUGGUAGAACCUUUCUUUAUACCAGUAAGACAUUUGUUGCAGGUAUGCCUACAUAAUCAGUGUCCUUCAAAACUUUCAAGGAGUUAGCAAUGCCUAACCCCUGAAACACUAAAUCUCACGGGAUCAACUCUUUACCUCUAGACCGAAGGUGUGACACCCAGACCCAAUUAGGGCUUAGAACACAUAUCGAAUCUGAGUGAAACUAAAUGCCUGUAAAUCCAAAUCUCCAAAAUAUCAUAAAGUCAUCUACUUUCUCUUUUCAUGUAUUUCACAAAAUUUUGAAAAAUUCAUUCUCAAUCAUAAACUAUGCACAGCUAAUUAUUCAGCAUAUCAGUAUAGAGCAAUACUUCCUCAUAAGCAAAUAAAUCUUACAAUCCUUCUUAAAUGAUUUGAAAAAAAUACUAAUAGAAGUCUUCUAGAUACAAACAUAAACAGAAUUCAACUGUUUAAAACUAUGCCAAAACACAAGCUUCAAUCAGUAAUGCAUACGACUAAUUAUUAAAAACAUCUAGCCAGAAACCUUACGAAAGCUCAAUCCUUUCGAAGCAUUCUUCAAAUUAAUAAUUGCUACCAUCUGUGAAAAAUAAUUGACAAGGAGUCACCUGUGAACUCAAUCAGUAGAAACAUUCGUAACGAACAAAAAGAAUUCUUUGUGCAAUAUUUUCAGAAAAUUCAUUUAACCUUUCAAAUGAAACAGAGUAAUUUUUCUAACGCAGUCAGGAUUUAUAUAAAACACAAACGUUUCAGACAAAAGCUGUGUGGAAUGUAAAUUUUGUUUCUUUAAACAGAAAGUUAUAUAUUAGUUUGAUUUUAAAGGGAGGUUAUUGGGAAGUUAAAAUUGGCAGUUGCGGGAAAAGGGUAAUAGCAGUUAUAAAAUCUCUUUUAAAGCAAAUUCAAAUCAAGUUUCAAAUUUUAGGAGUACUUAAUUCAAUAAAAUAAGGAAUAAAUAAAGCUUUCAUUGAAAUAAAACUAAGUAAAUUCAUUUAAAGCAAAAAAGGAUGGGAGCAUUACUAUGGGUUCUUAUGUUUACCCGCAGUCAGACAUCUGGGACCUUGUUAUUUGGAGACAAGACUUGAUUGUGCCAUGUUUUCCGCAGCUAGACAUCUGUGGAUAAGAGAACCCUAAGCGUAUUGAGAAUAAAUUCCAUAAUCCAAGUCUCUUCAGUUCUUUCAUUUGUGGCUAAUUAGUUAUAAAAUUUGUGAAUUUCAUGCCCCAUGCCCCUUGCAAAAAUGUAUUUUAUAUCCUUAAGAUGCCAGUUGUUGAACUGAAAUAAUAAAAAAUGGAAAACAGACUUAAUGCCGAUAGCAUUUCUUAAGAAAAACUUGGGAUGUUUAUAAGUUUCUUAGAGCAUUUGCUGAACUUUCUGUGAUGGCAGUCGAGACGGGUGACCGCUACUUCCCUCAUUGCUCAGAAGUGGUUGAUCGCUUUUUGGAUUUGAACAAUCCUUCCACCCCAGAAAUGGACGACGAGAAACUUAAAGUAGACGUGCAGGAGGCAUUCUGCAAGGACGUGGCUUAUCACCGUCGUUUAGGGCUGCCAUCAUCCUGGCCGGCAUUUUACCAGUACAUGGCUAGGAGCAAUCAGUCGGCAUUUUACAAGUACGUGGCUGAGAGCAAUGGUUCACGAAUGUCGACAUCCUGGGCAGCGAGCAAUUAAGCAUCACCUUUCCCUAAAAGUUAUAUUUGACACCUGGAAAACUAAAGUAGUUGAGUGAGCUCGAUUGGUAUUUGUAGUUUCUUUUUUUUUUACUCAAGUGAUCUGGCAUAAUUAAAAGUUAUUUGUUUGUCUUCAAAGUUAUUGUAUUGUCUCAAGUCCGGUGAGAUGCGCGAACGUAUAGCAUGCAUCACAAACUCAUUUCAUAGAAUAUUUUUUUGUAUAAUUAUAUAAUUUAUAGGCUUUGCUUAAAAAAUUAAAAAAGAAAAAAAGAAUUGUAUUACAAUUGGUAUGAGGCAUGCUCGUGUGUUAUAUCAGUUGCAUGCGUGUGUUAUAUCAGUUGCUGAACAAACUUUGCCUUUUAGUUUUGUAGGCACUACCAUCUCAAAUUCUCUGUUAUCAUGAAUGAGUAUUUUUUUUCUUUUUUCUUUUUUAAGAAAUCAUAAAUGAGAUUCAGAUAAUCUUUUUAAAAAAAAAAGAAAAAAAAAUGGAGAUUUCUUUUAUUUUUCCUUAAAAAACUGAAGAAAAAUUUAGAAGGUAGUGAGAGACGGAGAAUUAAAGCAAUUUUAUUCACAAAUGUAAUGUGUUUGGUCUAGCAAUACAAACUAAUAAAUUAUAAUUUAUGAGAUUAGUUUACAUAAUCUUAUAUAUAAAAUUAUAUCCUCUGAAUAAAAAUCUUCUCACCUCUUUUGACUUCUCAUUUAGAUGCCCUCUCUAGAAUCUCUCCAGCCAUAAACACAUUUUUAUAAAACAAAACACAAAAAAAAAUUAUAUAUAGUUGUCACAAGGACUAUUUCAUUUGCACAUAAUACGCAAUUGGUCAUUAAAGUUAUUAGAGGAGAAACUUUACAUGACAUGGGUACAUCAUAUUAUUAGUAUUUUAGUUUAAAUUUUUACAUACUAGAACAGUCUCUUUUUCUCCGAUUUGAGAGAUAAUGGGGAAUGGGGUUAAAGUGCAUCUACAUAGAAUUAAUUAUAAUUAAAUUUAUUUUUUAAAACUAUUUUAACUAGAAGUAGUAGUAAUUCUUUUUACUAUUGUUAUUCCAAUUAUAUCAAAAUCUCGUGACUGGUGAUCAAAAUAAGUGGUUCAUUAAAUUUUUUUAGGUGACGUAUGGUAUGGAGUUGUUAUAAAUCUAUAUAAAAAGUAAAAUAUUUAAUUUUGCUUGUCGUAAACUUUUAAUUUGCAUGGGUUAAAAAAGAAAAAAAGAAAUUGACUUAUUAAUUAAUUAACAAUUAUAGAAAGAAUAAAUAGAAAAUUAUAGUUGCGUGAGAAAACCCUCGUGAAAAGGGCUCCGGAUUUCCUUUCCCUGGCUUCGUGCGUUUCCUUUUGCCCUUUUCGAGCACGAAUUCGAAUCCAGUACUUUAUAAUAAAGAUAUAAUAUUAAAAAAUAAGAAAAAGAAUCCCAAUUUUUACUGGUAUAUAACGCAGAGCCUGCAUUAUGAAACACUCUUUUGCUAUUGUUUUCUUUUCUUUUCUCUUUUGCUGUAAUUUUUUAUGAAACACUCUGUUUCAGUUCUGUUUCUGGUUUUGUUUCGGUUUAAUAUUAUUGGUUCCGUUUGGUUCUGUUCUGCUCUGUUCUACGUCGUAUGUAUAUAUGUAUAUAUUUUUGGCCUCGAAUUGCUUUCAUCACCGGUUUUGUUAUUCAUUUAUCGUGAAUUUUAGAUGACUUGUUCGGCCAUGUUACAUUCAGCUACCAUUUUCAUGGUGGGUUUGUAAGAUAGUCUCUGACUAACACAUGGCAUUGAUUAUGAAUGAUGGUUUUGUGAGAUACAUCAUACAGACGUUAACUCGUGUUAAUUUGUACUUACAUCAUUCAAAAGAUUACUGUUUUUCUCUCUUUUUUUUAAAAAAAAAAAAAAUUGAAAUGCCCUUUUUCGCAUUUUAUAGAUGAAAGGAAGAAACAUAAUAUCGCAGAACUAGAAUAAAGGAGCCUAUUCUGUUACCUAUUGUCCGAGGAACCUUCUGUAUAUUCGGUAGGAACUACCAUGGGAAGUCAAAUCUUACCAGAGCCAGGCGGAGUCGUUGCUGAAGGAAUAUAUAUUAGCAGAUCCAUUUGUCCCGUACACUUCAAUUGUUGGUAGCAUUUUUGCUUGCACGAUGGUAUGUUUGUCAUCGUUACUGCGUGGUGGUAUUUACUAGAAAAUAUUUUGAAUGCAUAGUUUUUAUUUAAUUAGUUAUAAAAUUUUUAUACCCUCUGUUUUCCAUAAGAAUGUGUUCCUUUUCAGGUCUAUGAUCUUGCCCAAUUGAUUAGUGUGCUGUUCACUUUAAAUCUGAUUCCAGUUUCUCCAACAUACAGCGGGUCGAGUGGAGUAACAGGUGAUUGAAAAUUUUCAUUUAGUCCAAUUGUCAUUUCUUUCUCAAUCGGUAAAGUUUAAUCAUUUUUCUUAAAUCGACAACUCAUGCAGGGCCAUAUCAACCGUCCAUGACAUUUUUAUUACAGCGAUGUCUUUGUACUUUGUGUUUUGGUCGGAUCUCAGAGUUUGUGCAUAGCACACUUGGUUCUACUGUUUGUUUGUCCCUUCAUAGACAUUUCGAUAAACUGUUAUUUUUGUUCUUUGGAAGUGAAUAUUUUCAGCAACUAGAACUCCGAAGCAUCUGGAGUGAUCCAUUUUGUCAUUCUCAAUACCUAUAAAAGAAUGUCAUAGAAAACAGUUUCCAAAGCAAGUUGCAUGUGUUUUGAAUUUGUCUUUGCAAGCCACUAAUUGCUUGGAGCGCACUGUUAGCCAGUCGUGGUUCCAUCCACUUUUUUGGAUAGACAAUUGUGCAUCCAUAUGAUCUGGACUAAACUAGUUUCUAAUAAAUAAUUGCCCAGGGUUUUAGUCUCAGUGUUACAGCCCAGUCUUUGUUGUCAAUACUCUUUCCCCUGUCGUGGAUGAGCGACAUAACAGCUUCUUAAUGUUUUGCAGUGGCUUUUGCACGGUUGUUGUUUCCUUCUGAAGCUAGAGUAGCUACGGAUAGAGCGGAUGCAGAUGCCACCAAUUUUUAUACUGGCCUUUCAGCAUCAAAAUCAAAAGGAUCAAGUGGGAACUUAAAGGAGGUUGAUUUGAAUGAAACACCCUCUAUGCAAGCCAAGAGACUCCAAUUAAGAUUGCAAGCUCUGCUUAAAACAAGUAUUCAUAUACCUUAUUAGUUUUUGUACCUUUACAAUUUGUGAUUUUUGUAUCAAAAGAGAGAGGUUAAUUUUUAGUACAUUGAUAUCUCGACAAACUGUUAGAACCUUUGCACCACUAGAGACAUUUUCUUAGAGCAUUUACUGAACCUUCUAUGAUUGCAGUGGAGACAGGUCGACGCUACUUCCCUCGUUGCUCAGAAGUGGUUGAUAAAUUUUAGGAUUGUGAUUGGGCCGAUGCUUCCCUCCUAGAAAAAGGGUACUCCUGAAGAGCAGAGACUCAAAAGGGCACGCUUCAUGGAACUUAAAGAAGACAUGAAGAAGGCAUUUUACAAGGACAUGGCUGAGAAAAAAUGGCUCAGGUUUGUAGUCAUCCUCGUCAUCGUCAUCUUCUCCGAAGGACGGAGUAAAGUGUAAGGGUAGGAAAAUGUGAUGCUUAGCUGCAUGUCUUUGUUAUUCAUUUAUUGGCAACUAAAAGAGUUUUAGUGAGUUGGCUUGUUACUUGUAGAGAGAUACUCUUAGAGCCUAUGUUAUGGCUAUGUUGUAUAAUAGCAGAGGAACUUCAAGCUUGUGUUGUUGUAUUUUCCCUGGUAUUUGGCAUGUAAUGCACUAAAUGACAAAGAAUUUUCUAAUUUUAGAGGGGAAUGUUAUGUCAGUUAAUUAUUUAUUUAUUUUGUCUGUUUAAUUCAGUUUACAUAGCUUUUUUUUUUUCUCCAAAAAAAUCUUCAUAUCUCCAUCUGCAAUUUAAGUCAUUUGUAACUUCUUUCAGGGAGGAAGGAAAAGGGAAAAAAAAGAAGCAUUUGUAAGUAUAUUUACAGUACUGAUUUUCCUACAGAAAUUGGUUAAGGUGACAUUAAUGUUCUUAGUAACAGAUGGAUAUGCAGAAUUUUCGUUGAAAUUGAAAUUAGAAAUGGAUGGAUAUGAAUGACAUAUAUUCAGAAUUUUUUAGUAGAAUGUUUAAACAAAAUUUUUUAGCUCAUUACUCUCUAGAAGGAAAAUAAAUUUUUUAUUGUAAAUAUUAAAUAUUAAAUUUAUAAUAUAAUAAAUGUGUGACUUAAGGUGCACAAUACCUAUAUAAUAAUAAUAAUUAGGACAAGAAAAAUCAAAUUUUGUAAAUUACCAAAUUUCCCUUGGAAUUUGAUAUUCUAUAUCAACGUAGGUGUUGCAUCCACUGGGUUAGUACAACUAAAAGAAACUAACUAAAGUAAAACAAAAUAUCAGAAAAAUAUGGCGAGCUUCUCAUUUUUUUUUAAGUGAAAAAAAAAGAAAACUGAAAUUAAUUAUUUUUAUACCCAAAUUCUCAUGCUCGAAGGCCGCUGGAAUUGGUCAUUGUAAUUUUGUCAUCCUCGUUAUUCACUGGCCAUCGUAGCCUUCCUCCCUUAGAAUGAGAGUCGUUUUUUGGACCACGACAUAAUAAAAAUAGUAUUGAUUAAUACUAAUAAAUUUCUUUUUGAUUAUUUUGCAGUGUAAUAGUCUAGUGCGUGCCAGUGCCCAUCAGAUCACUUGAACAUGUGGUAAAAUUCUGCGAGUCUUUGUAAAAUAAUUUUUAAAUUGUGUAUUAACCAAAUAGCUCAAUGAAGACUAUCGACUCAUUAUUUUAUUUUGUAUAUAUUUAUGAUAAUUGUUGAAAAGAAAAUUGUAAAGUGAGAUUAAUGAACAUUUAUGAAUGUGGAAAUUAACACAACCAGAAUUUAUGAUGAAAUAAUUUUAAGUCAAACGAAUGUAAGUUUGUAUAUAUAUUUUUUGAAUUGUCAUAUAUAUACAAGUUUGUCACUAACAGUAAAUUAAAUUAUGAAUAUUUUAAUAAUUCAAAAUCUCAUUUAACCAUCAGCGUUUAUAGGGUGCGUUUGGCACAUUGUAUUGUAUUAUAUUGUAUUAUAUUAUUUUAAUGCAUGUGUAUUAUAUUAUAUUGUAUUACAUUAACAUUGUAUUAUAAUAAUACUAUACAAUGUUUGGUACUACAUUGUAUUAAUUUUUAAUAAAUAUAUAAUAUUACACUGUAUUAUAUUAAUUUUUUAAUAAGUACUUUAAAUUAUAUAUUUAGAAAAUAACAUUUAUUAGUCGUUAAAAAAUACUAAAUAUAAAAUUCUUAAAUUUUAGAAAUUUAAUAUUAUCUUUCUGGUAUAAACGUUGAAAAAAAAAAUCAUAAUUCUUCGUAAAAAUCGAAAUAAAUAAUUCAAUCAAAUAACCUUCAAAUAAUAUUAUAACAUAAAUAAAUAAUUAAAAUGUACAAGAUUAAGUUAAAAAUCAUUUUAAGAUAAUAAAAUAAAAAUUUAUACAUAGUAUAAAAUAAUAUAGUAACUGUAGUAUAAUAACUAACAAAAUAGACUGUACUAAAUAAUUUAAGUAAUACAACAAUAUUUACAAGUACCGUUUUUGCUAUCUUUCUCUUUUAAAGGCCCCUUUUUUGUUUUAUUCUUAGAACUUCAUAGUUCUUUUGUUUUUUCUUUUUCUUUUUCUUUUUCUUUGCCCCUUUUUUGUUUUCUUCAUAUUUCUUUUGGCUUCAUAAGUUUCUUUUAACUGAGUUAAUAGUGUUGUUAGGUUAAACUAAGUUUGGCUUCAUAAACUUAAAUCUCGUUAAGUUUUCCUUCGAAUAGCUCUCUCUCUUUUAGAGAGGCUUGAAUGGAAAAAUAUUAAGGGGUCGUAAGGACUCAGGUGGUCACUCCUAGUGAGUGGAAAGUAAUCUAAACCAGCAAGCUGUUGGGAUUGAUGUGCUGGUGGAGAAAGUUUCGAAGAGCCAAAGGUAGUGUAAAGCGUUGGGGUACGAGUCAAAGCAAGCAAGUUGAAAGAACUCACUAUCGGCUCUAGCGUUAUUUGCCAUGGACACUGAAGAGCUAAUUCGCAAGUGUCAAGCAAUAAAUAUUAGAGAGGAAGACAAAGCCAAAAUAACACUGGAGGUGAAUCUGGAAAAAAAGAAAGAACUAAUGAUGGCAGGCUGCUUAGUGGGUAAAGUAAUGCUCGCGAAGGGAGUAAAUAAAGAGGGUCUCAAGGCUGCGUUACAGCAGGUGUGGAGGACUUUCAAAGAAGUCAAAAUCGAAAGCGUGGGAAACAACAUCUUCAUGUUUAAAUUUGCUGAGGAAGCAGACAAGAAAAGAGUGUUAAAAUGGGGACCAUGGCACUUCGACAGGGCAUUGAUUGUACUCGCUGAGCCAAGGGGGAUUGGGGAAGUCGCAAAACAAUCCUUUACUCAUACAUCCUUUUGGGUGCAGAUUCGUAAUGUUCCACUAGCGUGUAUGGAUAAAGAUUUUCUCCGGGAGCUGGGUGAGAAGCUAGGAUCAGUUGAAGAGGUCCAAACUGAUGAUAAUGGAGAUUGUAUUGGGGAAUAUGCCAGAAUAAGAGUUUCAAUUAAUAUAACACUGCCGCUAGAGAGGAUUCUAUUUCUAAAGCGAGAAGGUGAAACUGAUAUCCCAAUGCCAGUGGUCUAUGAACGUUUGCCGGAUUUUUGUUAUUGCUGCGGCAUCAUAGGACAUCAAUACAAAGAGUGUGGCAAAUACCAAGACCAACCAAGAGAAGAUUUACCAUAUGGGAGCUGGAUGAAAGCGAUUACGGUAGGGGGCUUCACAAAGAGGAAUCAGAACCAGGGAAGGUGGAACUAUGGGGCUGGAAAAUCGGAUGAAAAAUCAGCAAGCUCAGAAAAUCACAGCUUCCAGCAACAGCAAGGGCAAAACAAAGAAAACCCGAUAGAGGCAAACGGGUCGGUACAAAAUGAGAAGGAAAUGGGGCAAACCAUGGAGCAUGCUAAGAAUGAUGUGAUAGGAGGAGUAGCUGAGCAACAAUUAAUGCAAGGAGUGUCACAGUCAGCGGACAAAAAACAAACUGACGGCCACAAGCAAGCUAAGAAAAGUGGCAAUGCAACAGUCCCAAGGAAAAUGGGCACACAAGCGGGAAAUGGUAUCCUAAACGAGGGGGAAAAAAUGCAAAUAAGUCAUGAAAAGGAAGCUGGAAAAAAUGAUGGGCCGGAAGUCUCUCAGCUACAGCCCAAUAAGAGAAAGUGGAAGAGAUUACUUAGAGAGCUAAGUGAAGGGGGGGAAGAAAUGGAGGUACAAACUCGGAAAAGGCCAAGGGGGAAAAAACUCGGGCAAAGCCCAAGGAAAAAAACAAAACUCUCCAACUCAAACCAGCUCGAGACAAAAAAUCUGAUGCAUGUUUCUUCAACAGCAAGUCUUCAGCUGGGGUGGGAACCGCUGAUGCUGGAAGAGGUGGUAGUUAUGGAAGCAAACAACAUGGAGAUAUCGGCGGAGGCUGGUGGCCAGCCCCGCCGAAAACCAUGAAUAUCCUCAGCUGGAAUGUUCGGGGUUUGGGGAAUCCCCGAGCAUUUCAAGCCUUAAGAAAAAUCCUCCAGUUGCAUGGUGCUCAGCUGGUGUUCUUGUGUGAAACAAAGGUAUCAACCAUGCAAAUGAAUGUAAUUGCAAGUAAGCUGAGCUUCGAGAAUUGCCUUGCGGUAAACGGUAAUGGAAGAGGAGGCGGAAUAGCAAUGCUCUGGAAGUCAGAUAUUGAGGUGCAAAUCAAAUCAUACAGCCAGCACCACAUUGAUGCCGAAACUCAAAUGCCAAAUGGGAAUCAAAUGCGAAUUACAGGAGUGUAUGGGCAUCCGGAAAUAAGCCAGAAAAAGCACACUUGGACGCUCCUCAGACGGCUGGCGGUUUUAUCUUCUAGUCCUUGGUUGUGUUGUGGAGAUUUUAACGAAAUUUUACAUCCAAAUGAGAAGAGGGGCGGCAAUGAUAGAAAUGUGAAUUUAAUUAAUGAGUUUAGAGAAGUCUUGAGAGAUUGUGGCUUAAAGGAUGUCGGGUUUCGGGGGUAUGCUUUUACUUGGAAUAAUGGAAGAUAUGGGGAGGGUUUUGUGGAAGAAAGGUUGGACAGAUUUGUUUGCUCUAAAGCUUGGAGUGAUAGAUUUGUGGACUGUGCAGCAAGUAAUCUGGACUCCUGGACUUCGGAUCAUUGUCCCGUGCUGAUGGUUGUUCAAGAGAGAAGGGAGGGUAUGAUCCAAAGGGGUAGACAUUCCUCGCGAAUCCAUUAUGAGGAUAUGUGGAGUUCGUAUGACGGAUGCAAAGAGAUAAUUAAGGAGGAAUGGGGGCUGUAUAGAAACUGGAGCAGUGAAAAUUCAGCCCAAUCCUUUCGACAAGCAACAAAAACUUCGAUGGGUAGGCUGCUGGGGUGGAGCAAGAGGGAAUUUAGAAAGCGUGACAGAAAAUUAGAGAAGCUGAAGGUUCAGCUGAGGGAGUUAAAACAAAGAAGGGUGCAAUUUGUAGAUGGUGAGGAAAUUCGGAAGGUGGAGAAGCAAAUUCAAAAUAUUCUUAUGGAUGAAGAAAUCUACUGGAAGCAACGUUCAAGAGCAGAUUGGCUCAAGGAGGGGGACAAAAACACAAAAUUUUUUCACGGCAAAGCGACGGCAAGAAGGAAAAAAAACAGAAUUUGGGGGAUUGAAGAUAAUUUUGGGAAAUGGAUUGAGGAGCCAAUCAAAGUAGAGCAUGAGUUUUGCAACUAUUUCACCAAGCUUUUUACAUCAACCCAGCCGAGACAAGAUCAAAUUGCAGCAGCUUUGGAAGGAAUAACUCCAAGAGUUUCAGCCAGUAUGAAUGAGAGUCUGGGGGCACCUUUUACAGCCGAGGAAGUGUUGGAAGCGCUGAGCCAAAUGUGCCCAACAAAGGCUCCGGGGCCGGAUGGUUUGCCAGCCGUGUUUUACCAAAAGCAUUGGCAUUCGGUCAAGGAGGGAGUGCUCACCACUUGUCUGCAUAUCCUUAAUUCACAAGGUACCAUCGGCCCUCUAAACCACACUUACAUUGCUUUGAUACCAAAAAUCGGAAAGCCUAGGAAAGUGACAGAUUUUAGGCCUAUUAGUUUGUGCAAUGUCAGCUAUAGAAUUGUUGCUAAAACAGUUGCUAAUAGAUUUAAGCAAGUUUUGCACAAAAUCAUCUCUCCAUCGCAAAGUGCAUUCAUUCCCAAUAGGCUGAUCACUGACAAUAUAAUAGUUGGCUAUGAAUGUUUGCACAAAAUUAGGCAUUGUAAAAGCAAGCGAAAUGGAUUAAUUGCCUUAAAGCUUGAUGUUAGUAAAGCUUAUGAUAGAUUGGAAUGGAAUUUCUUAGAGCAAACUUUAGAAAAAUUAGGCUUCUCGCAGCAAUGGAUUAGCUUGAUUAUGAGGUGCAUUAGUUCGGUUUCAUUUUCAGUGUUAAUAAAUGGUGCAGUGAAAGGCUUAAUUAAACCUCAAAGGGGCUUACGUCAAGGAUGCCCCCUCUCCCCAUAUUUGUUUAUUACAUGUGCAGAGGCCUUUUCAUCUUUGCUGCAGCAAGCUGAGCAACAACAACUCAUUCAUGGGUUAUCUUUUGGAAGCAAUCUGAAGAUUUCGCACCUCCUUUUUGCCGAUGACAGCCUGGUCUUCAGCAGAGCCUCCAUGGCCGACUGUCACAACUUGAAGAUGAUCCUUGAGUGUUACUCCACAGCUUCGGGCCAAAUUUUUAACUUCGAGAAAUCUUCCCUUUUUAUCAGUGGCAAUGUACAGCAAGAUCAAACUGAGGCUCUUGGGAAUCUAUUUCAGCUCAAUAUUGUGUCGAGACAUGAGAAAUAUCUAGGCUUGCCAUCGAUGAUUGGGAGAAAGAGAAGCAGUUUUUUCAAUGACAUCAAGCUGAAGGUUGCUAAUAAGAUCUCAAGCUGGCAGCAUAAAUUCUUUUCUUGCGGAGGGAAAGAAGUCUUAAUCAAAGCGGCUGUUCAAGCUAUCCCAGCCUACGCAAUGAGCGUCUUUAAAAUUCCAGGGGGUGUUUGUGAUGAUAUUCAAAAGAUGGUGGCAAAGUUUUGGUGGGGCUCCAAGAGGGAAGGGCGGAGUAUUCACUGGGCGCAGUGGGAAAAACUGAGCCAAGCCAAGUGUUUGGGAGGGAUGGGAUUUCGUGACUUCUCAAGUUUUAACCGAGCUCUUCUAGCAAAGCAAGGCUGGAGGAUUCAGCAAUGUCCAGAUUCGCUGGUGGCAAGGGUCCUGCAAGCUAGAUAUUUCCAGUCAACCAAUUUCUUGGCUGCUAAACUCGGCUCAAACCCCUCAUAUAUUUGGAGAAGUCUUCUGUGGGGGAGGAAAAUUAUUUGCGCGGGCUCUAGGUGGAGAGUUGGUAAUGGUCAGAAAAUUCAUGUUCAUAAGGCUAAUUGGAUCCCACGGGCUUCAACUUUCCAGCCAAUAGUUAAGCCAUCUCUGCCCCCUGAUGCUAUGGUCUCGGAAUUAAUCACUGAGGCAAACUGUUGGGAUGAAAAGAGGAUUUAUGAGCAUUUUGACCAUAUGGAUGCUGAUUUAAUUGCUAAGAUUCCCCUGCCUCGAAGUCCAAGGGAGGAUGAGCUGAUUUGGCAUUAUGGAAAAAAUGGCCAAUUCUCGGUUAGAAGUGGAUACCAGACAGCUCUCCAAAUGAAAUUUCCAGCCAUGGCUUCAAGCUCAGUGGUUUCCAAAAAUGAGUGGAAUAUUAUUUGGUCCCUUGCUUUGCCUCAAAAGAUCAGAAUCUUUGCUUGGAGAGCAGCCAAAAACCAACUCCCAUCAGCUGAGAAUCUGUGGAGGAAAAAAAUAAUCCAGAAUCCCAUGUGCCAAGUCUGUAAAAUAGGAACAAAAAAUGUCUUUCAUGCUCUAGUAGCCUGCAAAUCGGCUGAGAAGGUGUGGAAGCUAAUCCAUUUUGAUGAUGACAUUCGUGCAGCUCACAGUCAAGACAUUCUAAGCAUACUGCAUGCUAUGAAAAGGAUGAGAAACAGAGACGACCUGGAGCUGUUGGUAACAAUUUUCUGGGUUAAAUGGAAUGCUAGAAAUCAGAUGAUCUUCAAAGGGAAAAGGGAAACCCCCCAGAUCAUGGUAGCUAAAGCUGAAGCCUUGAUUGCUGCUUAUAAGAGGGUGCAUUCUCCAGAUGAGGCCUGCAGUGAAACAGAGCAGAAAGCACCUCCCCAGAAAUGGAACCCCCCUCAAGCUGGUUUUGUAAAAGUAAACACUGAUGCAGCCAUUUGCUUUGAAAAGAACAUUGUAGGGCUGGGGGUAGUAAUAAAAAAUGUUUUGGGGCAUGUUACAGCAGUUGCUAUCAAGGUUGCUAAGUUUCAUGGAGAUGUUUCUUAUGCGGAAGCAGAAGCCAUGGAAUGGGGUAUGUUAGUGGCGAGAGAGGCCAACAUGAAAGCUGUCAUCAUGGAAUCAGAUUCUCAAGGUGUGGUCAAUUUAGUUAACAACAAGCAGGGCAGCAGAUCAGAGAUCUAUUGGGUUGUGUCAGAAAUUCAGAAUCUAGCGGAAAGUUUCGAUCGUGUUAGCUUUAAAUACACGCCUAGAUCUUGUAAUGUUAUUGCCCACUCUUUAGCUAAACUAGCUUUAGAGAAGUGCGAGAAUGUUGUGUGGAAAGGGUCAUACCCUUCACAAGUGAUGUAUCUCUUUUCUUCUUUAGUUUAAUGGAAAUCUCUUUUCAAAAAAAAAAAAAAAAAAGUUUGGCUUCAUAAGCUUCAUAGUAGAGUGUAGAAUUAGGUACAAUUUUGGAUUAGACAAGUCAAAGGUCUUAUCAAGUAAUUGUUCUGCUUACUGAUUUGGUAAUUGCAACAUUGCUAAAUUGUUCAAUUUGUCCUUUUUAUUUUGUUGAAUUUAUUGUAUGUCAUAUUACUUGAUUUAAUUAUUUUCUCAGAUCUUGUAGGUGAAAAUUUCAGCUUCAAAGACCAAAGCUAAUCAAUCAUCCAGCAAUUCAGUGAAGAAACCAAGACACAGUGGCUCAUAAAUUGUUGUUGGUGAUUGAUCCCAGCCAUUCGGGUGCUCGCCAGUCCUAGAUUAGAAAACUUUCAACGCGGCGCAUAAAUUGCUGUUGAUCUGCUUUAUAUAUUUUGACGUUUGUGAUUUGUGAAUACAUGGUCUGAUUCCAGUGUUUACAACUUUGAAAUUCAAUUAAAAGUUGAGCUGUGAAAGAGUGUGUUGUAUAACUUGAGAAGCAAAUGAAACAAACAGAAAAUGUGUUUUUAUUUUUUUAAUCUAUCUAUGUAACAAUUUAUAGCUGGCAAAGUAAUAGAGUUGUAUACUUGUAUUUAAUUAUUUAUUAUUAUUAUUAUUAUUAUUUUUUUGUAUCCAUGGUGUUUUGUCAUUUCGAAAGUACUUGACCCUUUCACGCUAAGGCACACUCCAGCAGCCGAAACUUUGAGCUUUCAGUUCUUGAUUUUAGCGUGAGGGGUAUCUUUGUCUUUUCAGUAGUCAACACACGGUCAACAAAACAGUCUACAAACAAUCGACCUGUGAACUUGGGUCAAAGCUUUCAUCUUUAAAUCACAUAGGUAGAUCAUGAUUCAAGCUUCAGUUAUAAGCCUUUCAUUGUGAUUGAUAGUAUUCUUUCUUUGAUAUAUAUAUAUAUAUAUAUAUAUAUAGAUUCAUGGUUCUUGAUGGUAUCAUGGAAAAUGCGAACGAAAAGUCAGCAUCUUUGAGUUUUGACUCAUCUUAUCAAACUUGUUGGUCCACUAAUCAAUCAACAGGCACUUGUGAUCUUGAUUAUUUCAACUUAAGGAUGCAAAGCAGCAAUGCCAAAGAGACAUGGCAUGACGCUGAGAUUGUUGUUGAGGGCAAAUCAGUGGCGGUUAAUCGCAGCAUAUUGUCUGAGCGCAGUCAAUUUUUUCGUCGGCUUUUUAAUUUGAGAAAUGAUGGUUCUGUCAGUGAGGAGAAACCCAAGUAUCUUAUGACUGAUUUGGUGCCUCAUGGGAAGGUUGGAUAUGAAGCUUUCAAUGAUAUCCUGCUUUAUAUUUACACUGGGAAGACAAAGGCAUCUCCUCCAGAAGCGUCCACGUGUGUUGAUGACGCUUGUACUCAUGGUGCUUGCCCUCCUGCUAUUAAUUAUGUUAUUGAGUUGAUGUAUGCUUCUGCUGCUUUUCAGAUGACACAUCUCGUUUCGGUUUAUGAGGUAGUUGCGCUUCCCCGCUAUUUGCAUUGCUUAAAUUUAUGCUUGUUGGUAUAGUUUUAACAUAUAUGGAAUUGAAAUCAAUUUCGGUUGUGAAGCAACUUCGGUGGUUCCCAAUAUUAGGCAUUGUAGUAGAUCCAAAAUUAGCUUGUUGAGAAGUGUAGAUACUGUAGAGCCCAAAACUUCGUCUUAUCUUGCAAGAGUCUGUUGUUUUAUUUUGAAAGAGACAAAAGUGAUGAUGAUGGGCAGCGAACUCUAGGAAUCAAUGCUUGCUGACACUGACCCCCAAGAAUCAAUGAGUCUGAAUUUGAUAAGUGCACCUAUCCUAUCACAAAAGCUUUUGCGUUGAGUUUCUAACCAAUUUUCAUUUGUGUAGGUGUCAGUUCAUGCUCUGGCUUGACUGUUCUGUUAUUUAGGUUGUUUUAUCCGUAUUUUCUUCACUCACUUGAUGGUUAGUUCUCUCAUGCUUUCAAGCUCUCAACAGUGAAUGCGGGAGAUUCUAUUUUUCCCGUCCAGUCUAUAACCUAGCAAAUCAUUAAUGCUGUAGAAUAACAUCUUGUGUAGCCGAGUUUAUGUCUCUGAACAUUGGUCCAUCGGCAUUUAGGAUCAAUAUUAUUUUUCCCCCUCAUUAUUAUUUUCCUCCACAGAUUAUCCCCUUUGAGUAUUUGAAUUUUGAAUAUAUUAUUCUGAAUCAAAACUCUAUCUGUCCGUGUAGCAUUUUUUAUAUGCUUUACGAUGUUUACCAAUAAUUACCCACUAUGGGGUAUUUGAAUUUUGAAUAUAUUAUUCUGAAUCAAAACUCUAUCUGUCCGUGCAGCAUUGGCUUCUGAACUUGGCUGAGGAUGCGCGUGUGGAAGAUGUAAUCCCAAUUCUCGUGGCUGCCUUCCAUUGCCAACAGAACAUGCUCUGUUCUUACUGCAUCCAGAGAAUUGCAGGAUCAAAUCUUGACAAUGUUUGUCUCGAGAAAGAGCUUCCUGAUGAAGUUUCAAGAGAAAUCAAAUCACUCCGUGUCAAAUCUAACCAGGAGUCUGAAGCUAAUAUAGCAGAAGUGGAUCCUAUGCAUGCAAAAAUAGUCAGAAGAAUCCAUAAGGCGCUGGACUCUGAUGACUUUGAACUGUUGAAGCUUCUUCUGGAUGUAUCUAAUGUCACUCUGGAUGAUGCUUAUGCUCUGCACUAUGCUGCUGCCUACUGCAACCCUAAGGUUUUUAAGGAAGUGCUCAAUAUGGACUUGGCUGGUCUCAAUCUUAAGAAUGCAAGAGGUCGUACGGUGCUUCAUGUGGCUGCAAGGCGUAAUGAGCCAGAAGUGAUGGUGACUCUGCUGAGCAAGGGAGCAUGCGCAUCAGAAACUACAUCAGAUGGGCAAACAGCUGUAGCAAUCUGUCGGAGAAUGACAAGGCGAAAGGAUUAUAUUGAAGCUUCAAAGCAGGGGCAGGAAACUAACAAAGACCGGUUAUGCAUUGACGUCCUUGAGAGAGAGAUGAGAAGGAACUCCAUGUCUGAGAACUUGGCAAUGUCAUCAGAGGUGAUGUAUGAUCAUUUCCAAGCGGAGCUGGACUAUCUAGAAAAUACAGGUGAUAUUUCUUUACUGGUAUUAGUUCAUCACCUUCUCAGAGUUUGUGCAUAGCACACUUCUUUCUACUGUUUGUUUGUCCCUUCAUAUGGAAAAUAGAGGUGAUAUUCCUUUACUGGUAUUAGUAAAUCAUCUUCUCAAGAGUUUGUGAGUCCCUUCAUUUUAGCAUCUCAAACACACAUGGGCUCAUUGCUUGGGGCACACUGUUGGCCAGUCAUGUGAUUUGAUCCCCUUUUUUGGAAUAGAGAAUUAUGAAUCCAUCUGAUCUAGGCUUGGUGGUUUGCACCGAAGUGGUUUUUGAUAAAUAAUUGUACAAGACUUUGUCAUCAAAAACUUUUUUUUUUGUUUUCCAAAAGUAAUGAGGUACAAAAAUAUUUAUGCCUAUCCUGGAUGAGUGCCAUAACAGCUUCUUAAUAUUUUGCAGUGGCUUUUGUACGGUUGUUUCCUUCUGAAGCUAGAGUAGCUAUGGAAAUAGCUGGUGCAGAUACCGCCACUGGCCUUUCAGCAUUAGGUCAGAAAGGACUAAGUGGGAACUUAAAGGAGAUUGAUUUGAAUGAAACGCCCUCUAUGCAAGCCAAGAGACGCCAAUUGAGACUGCUAACUCUGCUUAAAACAGGUAUUUAUAUACUUUAUUAACUUUUGCACCUUUCUAUUUACUGAUUAUCUUUAUAAUUAACUAAUACAUGUAUCCAGGUUUCUCCUUCCAUUUCAUUAGAAGUAAAUUGGAAUCUCUUUAUAGUGCUCUGUUAGGUGUAAUCAGAUGUAUCAAAAGAGAAAGAGUAAUUGUUAGUACAUUGAUAUCUCAACAAAAUGGUGGAACCUUUCUUUAUACCACUAAAGACAUUUGUUGCAGGAUGCCUACAGAAUCAGUGUGCUUUAAAACUUUCAAGGAGUUCGCAAUGCCUAACCCUUGAAACACUAAAUCUCACGGGAUCAACUCUUUACCUCUAGACCGAAGGUGUGACACCCAGACCCAAUUAGUGCUUAGAACACAUAUCGAAUCUGAGUGAAACUAAAUGCCUGUAAAUCCAAAUCUCCAAAAUAUCAAAAAGUCAUCUACUUUCUCUUUUCAUGUAUUUCACAAAAUUUUGAAAAAUUCAUUUUCAAUCAUAAACUAUGCACAGCUAAAUAUUCAGCAUAUCAGUAUAGAGCAAUACUUCCUCAUAAGCAAAUAAAUCUUACAAUCCUUCUUACAUGAUUUUAAAAAAAUACUAAUAGAAGUCUUCUAGAUACAAACAUAAACAGAAUUCAACUGUUUAAAACUAUGCCAAAACACAAGCUUCAAUCAGUAAUACAUACGACUAAUUAUUAAAAACAUCUAGGCAGAAACCUUACGAAAGCUCAAUCCUUCCGAAGCAUUCUUCAAAUUAAUAAUUGCUACCAUCUGUGAAAAAUAAUUGACAAGGAGUCAGCUGUGAAUUCAAUCAAUAGAAACAUUUGUAACGAACAAAAAUAAUUCUUUGCGCAAUAUUUUCAGAAAAUUCAUUUAACCUUUCAAAUGAAACAGAGUAAUUUUUCUAACGCAGUCAGGAUUUAUAUAAAACACAAACGUUUCAAACAGAAGCUGUGUGGAAUGUAAAUUUUGCUUCUUUAAACAGAAAGUUAUAUAUUAGUUUGAUUUUAAAGGGAGGUUAUUGGGAAGUUAAAAUUGGCAGUUGUGGGAAAAGGGUAAUAGCAGUUAUAAAAUCUCUUUUAAAGCAAAUUCAAAUCAAGUUUCAAAUUUUAGGAGUACUUAAUUCAAUAAAAUAAGGAAUAAAUAAAGCUUUCAUUGAAACAAAACUAAGUAAAUUCAUUUAAAGCAAAAAAGGAUGGGAGCAUUACUAUGGGUUCUUAUGUUUACCCGCAGUCAGGCAUCUGGGACCUUGUUAUUUGGAGACAAGACUUGAUUGUGCCAUGUUUUCCACAGCCAGAUAUAUUUUACUUCAUUAGUUCCUAGACAUCUGUGGAUAAGAGAACCCUAAGCAUAUUGAGAAUAAAUUCCGUAAUCCAAGACUCUUCAGUUCUUUCAUUUGUGGCUAAUUAGUUAUAAAAUUUGUGAAUUUCAUGCCCCAUGCUCCUUGCAAAAUGUAUUUUAUAUCCUUAAGAUGCCAGUGGAUGAACUGAAAUAAUAAAAAAUGGAAGACAGAUUUAAUGCCGACAACAUUUCUUAAGAAAAACUUGGGAUGUUUAUAAUUUUCUUAGAGCAUUUGCUGAACUUUCUGUGAUCGCAGUCGAGACGGGUCAACGCUACUUCCCUCAUUGCUCAGAAGUGGUUGAUCACUUUAUGGAUUGGCCCUAUGCUUCCACCCCAAAAAUGGACGACGAGAAACUUAAAGUAGACGUGCAGGAGGCAUUCUGCAAGGACGUGGCUUAUCACCGUCGUAUAGGGCUGCCAUCAUCCUGGCCGGCAUUUUACCAGUACAUGGCUGAGGGCAAUCAGUCGGCAUUUUACAAGUACGUGGCUGAGAGCAAUCGUUCAGGAAUGGCGACAUCCUCGGCAGCGAGCAAUUAAGCAUCACCUUUCCCUAAAAGUUAUAUUUGACACCUGGAAAACUAAAGGAGUUGAGUGAGCUCUGCUCGAUUGGUAUUUGUAGUUUCUUUUUUUUUUCCUCAAGUGAUCUGGCAUGUAUCAAUUAGUUUGUAAAGUUAAUUGUAUUGUCUCAAGUCCGGUGAGAUGCGCGAACGUAUAGCAUGGAUCACAAACUAAUUGUAUUGUCUCAAGUGAUCACAAAAAGAAUUGUAUUACAAUUGGUAUGAGGCAUGCAUGUGUGUGUCAUAUCAGUUGCUGAACAAACUUUGCCUUUUAGUUUUGUAGGCACUACCAUCUCAAAUUCUCUGUUAUCAUGAAUGAGUAUUUUUUUUUUCUUUUUUUUCUUUUUAACAAAUCAUAAAUGAGAUUAAGAUAAUCUUUUUUUUAAAAAAAAAAAAAAUAGAGAUUUCUUUUAUUUUUCCUUAAAAAACUGAAGAAAAAUUUAGAAGGUAGUGAGAGACGGAGAAUUAAAGAAAUUUUAUUCACAAAUGUAAUGUGUUUGGUGCAGCAAUACAAACUAAUAAAUUAUAAUUUAUGAGACUAGUUUGCAAAAUCUUAUAUAUAAAAUUAUAUCAUCUGAAUAAAAAUCUUCUCACCUCUUUUGACUUCUCAUUUAGAUGUCCUCUCUAGAAUCUCUCUGGCCAUAAACACAUUUUUACAAAACAAAACAGAAGAAAUUAUAUAUAAUUCUCACAAAGACUAUUUCAUUUGCACAUAGUACGCAAUUGGUCACUAAAGUUAUUUGAGGAGAAAAUUUACAUGAGAUGGGUACAUCCUAUUAUCAGUAUUGUAAUUUAAAUUUGAACAUACUAGAAUGGUCUCUCAUAAAUUUUUCUCCAAUUUGAGAGAUGGUGGGGAAGUGGGGUUAAAGUGCAUCUGCAUAGAAUUAAUUAUAAUUAUAUUUAUUUUUUAAAACUAUUUUAACUAGAAGUAGUAGUAAUUCUUUUUAUUAUUGUUAUUCCAAUUAUAUCAAAAUCUCGUGACUCGUGAUCAAAUUAAGUAGUUCAUUAAAUUUUUUUAGGUGACGUACGGUAUGGAGUUUUUAUAAAUCUAUAUAAAUAGUAAAAUAUUUAAUUUUGUUUGUCGUAAACUUUUAAUUUGCAUGGGUUAAAAAAGAAAAAAAGAAAUUGACUUAUUAAUUAAUUAACAAUUAUAGAAAGAAUAAAAAGCAAAUUAGAGUUGCGUGAGAAAACUCUCGUGAAAAGGGUUCCAGAUUUCCUUUCCCUGGCUUCGUGCGUUUCCUGUUUGCCCUUUCGAGCACAAUUCGAAUCCAAUACUUAAUAAUAAAGAUAUAAUAUUAAAAAAUACGAAAAAGAAUCCAAAUUUUUACUGGUAUAUAAGGCAGAGCCAGUUAGAAUUCACAAACCUUAAGCAUACAAUCUGUUUGGCUAGCAGGAAAGUGACGAAGGAAGAAAGAAAAAUAAACUGAAUAAGAGAAUUUUAUUAAUCUCGAAUCACACCCUUACAUUCAAGCUUUCAUCAACUUAUAUUGCUGAUUAACAGAAGUAACAACCUCUGUAACAGCUGUCAAAUAACUAUUGGUUAAGCUAAGCUAAACAAUAACAAUCUAACUAAUUUGUCCAGCUCAGCUAUCCAGCUCAUCAAUCCUAGUCAAGUGAAUCUCAGCCAUUGAUCUGCUGCUGUUGAUUAAGCAUCUCAACACCCCUUCUCAAGCUUAAUGGUCGUGGAACAACAUUAAGCUUGUCUCUAUAGUAAUUAAAAAAAGAGUAAGCCAUAGGCUUUGUAAGCACAUCUGCAAUAUUCCACUCACUUGGUACAUACUUGAUCUCCACUUGUUUGCCCGUUACCUUUUCCCUUAUGAAAUGCACAUCCAACUCUAUGUGCUUGGUUUUGGCAUGAUAUACUGGAUUUGUUGCUAGUGCAGCUGCACCAUUGUUGUCACACCAGAUUAUUGGUAUUUGGCUACACUUCAGUUUAAGCUCUCCAAGUAAAGCUUGAAUCCAAACAAUUUCUGCACAAGCUGUUGACAAUGCUCUAUACUCUGACUCUGUGCUAGACCUUGCUACAGUUUGUUGCUUCUUGGAGGACCAUGAAACCAGAUUCUGCCCAAGAUAUACACAAUAUGCUCCAACUGACUUUCUGUCAUCCACAUCACACGCCCAAUCUGCAUCUGUAUAUGCUGUCAGACUAAUUCCAUCUCCUGCUUUAAACAUCAAUCCAUAAUCUUCAGUUGCCUUUAAGUAUCUUAGAAUUUUCUUACAAGCAACCCAGUGUUUCUCAGUUGGUGCAGCAAGAAAUUGGCUCAACUUAUUAACUGAAAAGGCAAGUUCUGGUCUUGUAAGUACCAAAUACUGUAAAGCACCUAUUAUGCUUUUAUACUCAGUGACAUUAACAAUCAAGUUAUCAUCAUUCCCUGCUCUUCUUAGUUUCUGUCCUGUACUCAUUGGAGUAUCACUUUCUCUGCAAUUUUCCAUAUCAGUUCUUGUAAGCAAAUCUCUUACAUAUUUUGCCUGUGAAAGAUGUAAGCUACCCUUUGCAUCAUGUGUAACCUCAAUACCAAGGAAGUAACUGAACUCACCAAGAUCUUUUAAAGCAAAGGUAUCUCCAAGGUAUUGGAUAAAUGUUUCAAUUACUGUAUUGUUAUCACCAGUAAUUAAUAUAUCAUCUACAUAUACUAACACAGCCACAAUACCUCCAAGUUCAUGUUUGAUGAACAAAGAUGAGUCUGCUUUGGAGUUCUGAAACCCCCACUGCAACAGUGCUUUCCUUAGCCUGUCAAACCAGGCUCUGGGAGCCUGUUUCAAACCGUAAAGAGCCUUAUGCAACUGACAAACAUGACCAGAUGGAGACUGAACAAAACCCUCAGGUUGAAACAUGUAGACAUCUUCAUUGAGCUCUCCAUUAAGGAAAGCAUUGUUGAUGUCGAUUUGUCUUAUUUUCCAGCCCUUCAUCACAGCAAGACUAAGGAUAAUUCUCACAGUUGACUGUUUAACUACUGGACUAAAGGUCUCAAAGUAGUCAAUACCAGCUGUUUGAUGAAACCCUUUUGCCACCAGCCGUGCUUUAUACUUAGAAACAGAACCAUCUGCAUUAUACUUAAUGCGAAAAACCCAUUUACACCCAACAAUUUUAGUAGCUUGAGAAGGUGGUACAAGAAUCCAAGUCUUAUUUUCCAUAAGUGCAUUAUACUCUGCCUGCAUGGCUGCUUUCCAUUUGGAAUCUGAAAGAGCUUGAGAAACUGUGGCAGGCUCUUGUUCUCCAAGAACAGAGGAAUAGGCAUGAAAUUUUGGCUUAAAUACACCUGCUUUGGCUCUUGUAAUCAUUGGGUGAUUUGGCAGUGAAACUUGAGUAGAGGAUGGUUGUUGAUUUGAAGUAUUUUGGGAUACAUAAGGAGAGGUGUGGGAGGGUGGAUGAUUUGAUUGAGAUGGUUGAAAUGGUUGAGAAGAAGGUGAUAAAGAACUAGAUGAGGAGGAAGAAGCUGAAGCUGCAGACAACUGAAAUGGUUGUAUAAUGGUGUUACUUGAGCCUGAAGGGUCAUGAAGUGGAACUGACACUGAAGAUACCUUAAACAUAGGAUAUCUAUAUUCAGAAGCAGAGGAAGAAGGUUGUUUAGAGAAAAGAGAGUCAGUAGAGAAAGGAAAUUCUGACUCAUUAAACACAACAUGCCUAGCAACAUAUACAACACCUUUUGAGCUUAGGCAUUUAUACCCUUUGUGAUCUGAGCUAUAACCAAUAAACAAACAUUUUGUAGUGUGAUAGUUGAAUUUGUGUUUGUUAUAGAAUCUCAGGUAUGGAAAACAGGAGCAGCCAAAAAACUUUAGAAAAUCAUAGUCAGGCUUGUGUUUGAAAAGAAUCUCAUAGGGAGAUUUAUUUGAUGGUAGAACAGAAGUUGGCAAUCGAUUGAUAAGAAAAGCAGAAGUUGAGAAUGCUUCCCACCAGAAACUGAGAGGUAAUUUAGCUUGUGCAAGAAGAGUCAAACCCAUCUCAACAAGAUGUCUAUGUUUCCUCUCUACUGUCCCAUUCUGGUGAUGUGUGUGAGGACAUGGAUGUCUGAAUAAAAUGCCAUGUUUUUGAAGAUAAGGCACAAAGGAUCUGAAUUCACCCUCCCAAUCUGACUGUAGGACCUUAAUGACUGUUUCAAAUUGUUUUUCAACUUGAGUUCGAAAAAUGGCAAAAACAGAUAAAGCUUGAGACUUGGUUUUCAAAGGAUAAACCCAGGCAUAUCUACUAUAAUCAUCAAUGAAACUGAUAUAGUAUCUAUAACCAUUGAGAGAAGUAAUGGGUGCUGGACCCCAUAAGUCAGUAUGGAUGAGUUCUAGAGGUGAGGUUGUUUUGUGUUCAGUUGCUCCAAAAUGCAGUUUAUGAACUUUGCCAUAUUGGCAGGCAUCACAAAAAUCAGGAAUUUGAAUUUUAUUGCUUAACUGCAAAUGUUUACAACUGGUGAGUACUUGUUUCAAGACUUUUGAACUAGGAUGACCAAGUUGCCUAUGUAGGAUAUUUAUUGAAGCACUGGAAACUCUACUGGAAUGAGACAACAGACACUGUUGAGAGGAGUGCUGAACAACUUUAGCUUGAAUAUUUGAAAAAGAACAAGACUGCAAACCAUCUGAGCAAUGUGACACCAUAGACAUAGGAACAAAACAUGACUCUUUAUUUACAGUUGAAAAUAAAGCUUGAUGAGUUUUACUUCCAGGCUCAAGUUUCAGCUUAUACAGACCCUUCAUAGCUACACCCUCCAGCAAAACUGUCCUCUUCUUCUUGUCCUUGAGAAAGCAAGUAUUUCCACAAAAUUCAAUGAUCAAGGAAUUAUCAGAAGUAAGCUUAGAAAUGCUUAAAAGAUUUUUAGUGAUGUGUGGCACAAAUAAAAGAUUUUUGAGCAAUAAUCUAUGAUUUCCAACUGCUAAAUAAGUGCUUCCUAUAUGAGAAAUAGUAAGGCCAUGUCCAUUACCAAUUAAAAGCUUUUCAUUACCUUCAUAAGGCUCACUGAUGCUGAGAUUAUUGAGAUCAUUGGUUAGGUGGUGAGUUGCUCCACUAUCCAGGUACCAGUCAUCAUCCAUUACUGCUUCUGGUGUUGCCAUAUAAGCUGACAUAUUUCUUUGAUUGUAGCCUUGAUUAAAAACUUGAUUUUGAUGUGGAUACCUUGUGACUGGAAUGAAAUCCUUGUUGAACCUAUCCUUGCAGGUAGCAGCAGUGUGUCCUAUAAUGAAGCACACUUGGUAUCUAGGUUGAUAUGGCUGUGAAAAAUGACCAGGCACAUGACUAGGCAUUUGAGUUCUCCCACCUUGAUUCCAAGAUCUUCCUCCAUGCAUGUUAUUUCCUCUUCCACCUUUCCUUCCUCGAUAGAAAUUUCCACCUUGAUUCCCUCUAAAAUUUCCUUGCAUCAUGUAUCCAGAAUUUUCAGAUCUUGAUGCAUUUUGAUUGAAACUAGAUCUUGAGUUGUAUGUUCCAAAACCUUUCUUAUUAUUGUUCCCUUUCUUAACAAAAUUUGCAGCAAACGCCAUAUUUGCAUCCAUAGUUUCAGCUAAAGCUUGUUGUUCUAACAUUCCCUCAUGUGUCAUUAACAUAGAGAGUGAUUCUGAUAAAUCGAGAUCUAAUCCUCUUCCUGUGAUCAAAACUGCUACAGGAUUGAAUUCUGAACCAAUUCCUCCUAACACACUCAUCAUAAAGUCAUAGUCACUCAUUGGUGCUCCUGCUGCUGCCAUGUUAUCUGCUAUGCCUUUCAUUUUGUGAAAAUAGUCAUAAACACUCAAAUCGUUCUUCUUUGUCAACAUCAUUUGAUUCUUCAGUUGCAAUGCUCUGGUUUUGUUUUGUGAGCCAGAAAGUUUUUCCAGAGCUUUCCAAACUUCAAAGGAAGUUUUGUAUCCGAGAACAAUUCCGAGAACACUCUCAGUCAUGGAAGAGAGUAGCCAACCUAGCAACUGCUGAUCAGUUCGCUUCCACAUCACAAACUCAGAGUUCGGAAUCCUCUGAUCUGUGCAUGGUGCUGUGAUUGAACCAUCAAUAUAUCCUUCUAAUCCAUUUCCCUGAAUGGAUGCCAAUACUUGCAUUUUCCAGAUCAAAUAAUUUGAUCUGUCGAGCUUAAUUGGUGUAGGAAAGGUAUAGGAAACAGUUGUGGUUUGAUUUAAGCUUGAUGAUGCCAUCUGGCUCUGAUACCAAGUUAGAAUUCACAAACCUUAAGCAUACAAUCUGUUUGGCUAGCAGGAAAGUGACGAAGGAAGAAAGAAAAAUAAACUGAAUAAGAGAAUUUUAUUAAUCUCGAAUCACACCCUUACAUUCAAGCUUUCAUCAACUUAUAUUGCUGAUUAAUAGAAGUAACAACCUCUGUAACAGCUGUCAAAUAACUAUUGGUUAAGCUAAGCUAAACAAUAACAAUCUAACUAAUUUGUCCAGCUCAGCUAUCCAGCUCAUCAAUCCUGGUCAAGUGAAUCUCAGCCAUUGAUCUGCUGCUGUUGAUUAAGCAUCUCAAAAGAGCCAAAGCGAUAGCGAAACAUCAAAUUGUUUUUAUUUCAACCUUCGCGCAACUUCCGGUGACAUAAUUUUUCUCUGUUUCAGGUACAUACCCAACACUAAACUUUGCAUGUAUCAUUCUUGUACUUUUGUUAUUCUUUUCUUUUCUUUUCUUUUCUCUUUUGCUGUAAUUUUUUAUGAAGCACUCUGUUUCAGUUCUGUUUCUGGUUUUGUUUCGGUUUAAUAUUAUUGGUUCGGUUCUGUUCUGCUCUGUUCUACGUCGUAUGUAUAUAUGUAUAUAUUUUUGGCCUCGAAUUGCUUUCAUCACCGGUUUUGUUAUUCAUUUAUCGUGAAAUUUAGAUGACUUGUUCGGCCAUGUUAUAUUCAGCUACCAUCUUCAUGGUGGGUUUGUAAGAUAGUCUCUGACUAACACAUGGCAUUGAUUAUGAAUGAUGGUUUUGUGAGAUACAUCAUACAGACGUUAACUCGUGUUAAUUUGUACUUACAUCAUUCAAAAGAUUACUGUUUUUCUCUCUUUUUUUUUUAAAAAAAAAAAAAAUUGAAAUGCCCCUUUUCGCAUUUUAUAGAUGAAAGGAAGAAACAUAAUAUCGCAGAACUAGAAUAAAGGAGCCUAUUCUGGUACCUAUUGUCCGAGGAACCUUCUGUAUAUUCGGUAGGAACUACCAUGGGAAGUCAAAUCUUACCAGAGCCAGGCGGAGUCGUUGCUGAAGGAAUAUAUAUUAGCAGAUCCAUUUGUCCCGUACACUUCAAUUGUUGGUAGCAUUUUUGCUUGCACGAUGGUAUGUUUGUCAUCGUUACUGCGUGGUGGUAUAUACUAGAAAAUAUUUUGAAUGCAUAGUUUUUAUUUAAUUAGUUAUAAAUUUUAUACCCUCUGUUUUCCAUAAGAAUGUGUUCCUUUUCAGGUCUAUGAUCUUGCCCAAUUGAUUAGUGUGCUGUUCACUUUAAAUCUGAUUCCAGUUUCUCCAACAUACAGCGGGUCGAGUGGAGUUUAAUCAUUUUUCUUAAAUCGACAACUUAUGCAGGGCCAUAUCAACUGUCCAUGACAUUUUUAUUACAACAAUGUCUUUGUACUUUGUGUUUUGGUCGGAUCUCAGAGUUUGUGCAUAGCACACUUGGUUCUACUGUUUGUUUGUCCCUUCAUAGACAUUUUGAUAAACUGUUAUUUUUGUUCUUUGGAAGUGAAUAUUUUCAGCAACUAGAACUCCGAAGCAUCUGGAGUGAUCCAUUUUGUCAUUCUCAAUACCUAUAAAAGAAUGUCAUAGAAAACAGUUUCCAAAGCAAGUUGCAUGUGUUUUGAAUUUGUCUUUGCAAGCCACUAAUUGCUUGGAGCACACUGUUAACCUGUCGCGAUCCCAUCCACUUUUUUGGAUAGACAAUUGUGCAUCCAUAUGAUCUGGACUAAACUAGUUUCUAAUAAAUAAUUGCCCAAGGAUUUAGUCUCAGUGUUACAGCCCAGUCUUUGUUGUCAAUACUCUUUCCCCUGUCGUGGAUGAGCGCCAUAACAGCUUCUUAAUGUUUUGCAGUGGCUUUUGCACGGUUGUUGUUUCCUUCUGAAGCUAGAGUAGCUACGGAUAGAGCGGAUGCAGAUGCCACCAAUUUUUAUACUGGCCUUUCAGCAUCAAAAUCAAAAGGAUCAAGUGGGAACUUAAAGGAGGUUGAUUUGAAUGAAACACCCUCUAUGCAAGCCAAGAGACUCCAAUUAAGAUUGCAAGCUCUGCUUAAAACAAGUAUUCAUAUACCUUAUUAGUUUUUGUACCUUUACAAUUUGUGAUUUUUGUAUCAAAAGAGAGGUUAAUUUUUAGUGCAUUUACUGAACUUUCUAUGAUUGCAGUGGAGACAGGUCGACGCUACUUCCCUCGUUGCUCAGAAAUGGUUGAUAAAUUUUAGGAUUGUGAUUGGUCCGAUGCUUCCUUCCUAGAAAAGGGUACUCCUGAAGAGCAGAGACUCAAAAGGGCACGCUUCAUGGAACUUAAAGAAGGCGUGAAGAAGGCAUUUUACAAAGACAUGGCUGAGAAAAUAUGGCUCAGGUUUGUAGUCAUCCUCGUCGUCGUCAUCUUCUCCCAAGGAAGGAGUAAAGUGUAAGGGUAGGAAAAGGUGAUGCUUAGCUGCUUGUCUUUGUUAUUCAUUUAUAGGCAACUAAAAGAGUUUUAGUGAGUUGGAUUGUUACGUUGUACAGAGAUACUCUUAGAGCCUAUGUUAUGGCUUAUGUUGUAUAAUAGCAGAGGAACUUCAAGCUUGCGUUGUUGUAUUUUCCCUGGUAUUUGGCAUGUAAUGCACUAAAUGACAAAGAAUUUUCUAAUUUUAGAGGGAAAAGUUAUGUCAGUUAAUUAUUUAUUUAUUUUGUCUGUUUAAUUCAGUUUAUAAUAUAGCUUUUUUUUUUUCUUUCCAAAAAAAUCUUCAUUUCUUCAUCUGCAAUUUAAGUCAUUUGUAACUUCUUUCAGGGAGGAGAGAGAGAAAAAAAGAAAAAGAAAAAGAAAAAGAAAAGAGUUUAUUUUACAGUACUGAUUUUCCUACAGAAAUUGGUUAAGGUGACAUUAAUGUUCUUUGAGGUGGACGGAUAUGCAGAUUUUUCGUCGAAAUUGAAAUUAGAAAUGGAUGGAUAUGCAGAAUUUUUUAAUAGAAUUUUUAUACAAAAAUUUGUAGCUCAUUACUCUCUAAAAGGAAAAAAUAAAUUUUUGAUGGUAAAUAUUAAAUUUUAAAUUUAUAAUAUAAUAACUUUGUGAGUUAAGGUGCACAAUACCCAUAUAUUAAUAAUUAAGAAAAGAAAAAAAAAUUAAAAUUUGUAAAUUACCAAUUUUUUCUUGAAAUUUGAUAUUCUAUAUUAACGUAGGUGUUGCAUGGACUGGGUUAGUACAAUUGAAAGAAACUAACUAAAGUAAAACAAAAUAUCAUUAAAAAUAUGGCAAGCUUCUCGUAUUUUUUAAGUGAAAAAGAGAAGAAAACUAAAAUUAAUUAUUGUUAUACCCAAAUUCUAGUGCUUGAAGGCCGCUGGAAUUGACCAUUGCAGUUUUGUCAUCCUCAUUAUUCACCGGCCAUCGUGGCCUUCCUCCAUUAAAAAAAUAAAUGACCAUUUUUUUGGACCACGACAUAUUAAAAAUAGUAUUGAUUAAUACUAAUAAAUCUCUUUUUUGAUUAUUUUGCAGUGCGAUAGUCCAGUGAGGGCAGUGCCCAUCGUAGCACUUCAACAUGUGGUAAAUUUCUGCCAAUCUUUGUAAAAUAAUUUUUAAAUUAUGUAUUAACCAGAUAGCUCAAUGAAAACUAUCGUUCACUAAAUCAUUACUUUAUUUUGUAUAUAUUUAUGGUAAUUGUUGAAAAGAAAAAUGUAAAGUGAGAUUAAUGAACGUUUAUGAAUGUGGAAAUUAACACAACCAGGAUUUAUGAUAAAAUAAUUUUAAGUCAAAUGAGCAUAAAUUUGUAUAAAUAUUUUUUGAAUUGUCAUAUAUAUACAAGUUUGUCACUAAUAGUAAACUUAAUUAUGAAUAUUUUAAUAAUUCAAAAUUUUAUUUAACAAUUGGUGUUUAUAGUGUUUUUCAUAAUACAAAAUUGUAAACAGUCUCAUCCUGAAUAGUAUAAUGCCAAACCUUUUCAAAAAUUUAUUCUAUUAUAGUCGUCUUAGUCAAUUAUAUUUAUUUUCAAAUUGAAGAUAAAAAUAGUACUUCAUAUAUCAUACAUUACUUAUAGUUUUUUUUUUUCAAUCAAAUUACGACUAAAAUUGAAAAAUUUACCAAUGGCUAUAUACAAAGUCUGAUUCUCAUGAGCUUAAAAGAUGGGCUUUGAAUGAUGUAUGGUACUCAAAACUCUACUUUUAUUAAUAUGAUUGCCCUGCUUCCUUCAUGACGGGUAAUUUUUAGUUUCUUCCCCUGAAGUUUGGCGUAUCUCCAUUUUAAUAGGAAGUAUUAGCGUAUCUCCCACUUUUCUCCCCUACCGUUUGUAUACCGUUUCAUAUUGUUAAUGGACGAAGCUACAAGUCUUCUCUUUCAUCAAAUCGAUCCAUAACAAAUACGAGUCUGCUUCACCUAACCAAAACACACGCAUACUCCAUCUCUAAAUGCUUUGAAGAUAAACAAAUCAACGGUAAUCCUGCAACUUUAGCUCAGAGAAUCGGAUAAGAAAAGAACAGGUGAUGAAUCAAGGGUAAUGGCGCCGAGUGAGUGUCGCCUGCGGUCGGCGUUAGAGGCGACUGUCACUCAAUCGCGUACAAGGUUAGUCUUUGAAAAAACUCUUUGCACGUUAGAAAUCAGUGAUUGGGCAUUAUUUUGUUAUUUAAAAAUGAAAAUGGGUUUAUUAGUUUGUCGAAGAAUCUGCUCUGUUGCCGGUGUUGUUUGUUGAUUAAAAUGAAAAUGGGUUUGUUGAUGUGUUGAAGAAGUUGCUCUACUGCUGGUGUUUUUUUAUUAAUUAAAAUGAAAAUGGGUUUGUUAAUUUAUUGAAGCAGCUGCUGGCAUUGUUAUUGCGACUUUAUUUAUCCAAUUGAUGAGCUUAUGAGCUAAUAGUAUUGUUUGAUCAAGCUUGUGUUCUUAAUAGUGGAGUUGAUAUUCUUAAAAAUGAAUUUAUGAUUAUGAGAAUAUGAAAAUUGAAUGGCAUCGUAGAGAUCUAGAUUAAUCACCAUCGUAUAUGUUUCUAAAUAAAGGAAUAAGCAGCAAUCUGAUUUGAAAGUUAAGACUUUAGGGAUAUGUAUGUGCAACUGAAUGAAUCAUCAGUUGCUAUCUUGUAAGUCAAUACUAGCAUAUUACUUAAUGGCAAGUGAAGCUAUUUUAUGUGUAUUGCUGCCUAUCAAAAUGUUUAUGUUUGAAGUUAUCUCCUUUUAGGAAAUUGAAUGCUUCUGUGAGUUCUCUGGUAAGGGCUAUACAACUAGCUCUAAUAGAUUCCUUCAUGUGCAUUAAUUAGCUUAGUAGUUUAUUGACCUAUAUCCAAUGUCUAUUCUUCUUUUCUGUAGCCGUCUAGUUUUAUGAGUGUGUGAAGUGAACUUUUGUUUUAUGUUUCAGGACUUGGGAUUAGAGUGUAUAACAUUCAAUAUCUUUUUAUCAAAGAACUGAUAUAUGUCAAUGUAGUGCGAUCUGGUCUUUAUUAGCUUCUUGAUUUGCCAGGAUGUUUGACAACCAUCUUUGACCAUGAUUGCCAACAUAUAAGCUGCUACAUAGUGUCUCAGGAAUCACAGCAAAUUAUUAUCAUAAUAUGGUGAUUUUGAAUCCAAAACUUGGUAGUGUCAAGAAAAUAGACCCAUGUUUAUUUAUCUUCAUGUUUUGUAUGCGGCUGCAAUAGACUAUUAUAAGUUACUUUUAGUUUUAUCAAGUUUUUUUUUCCUUAAAUUUCAUCGAGUCUUGGAGUCUUUGUAAUAUAGAGUCUAAGUGAAGAAUACUUGGGUGAAAUCUUGUAUUCUCUCUUCCAGUAAUAUAAUCAUCCUUUGUGUUUUUAUCUUUUUAUUUUGGUAUCAGAGCAUACUUUAUUAUAGAAGGACUUAGACUCUAUAUUACAAAGACUCAGCGGUUUCUUUUAACUGAGUUAAUAGUGUUGUUAUGUUAAACUAAGUUUGGCUUCAUAAGAUUCAUAGUAGAGUGUAGAACUGGGUACAAUUUUGGGUUAGACAAGUCAAAAGUCUUCUCAAGUAAUUGUUCUGCUUACUGAUUUGGUAAUUGCAACAUUGCUAAAUAGUUCAAUUUGUCCUUUUAUCUUGUUGAAUUUAUUGUAUGUCAUAUUACUUCAUUUAAUUAUUUUCUCAGAUCUUGUAGGUGAAAAUUUCAGCUUCAAAGGCCAAGCUAAUCAUCCAGCAAUUCAGUGAAACCAAGACACAGUGGCUCAUAAAUUGUUGUUGGUGAUCCAGCCAUUCGGGUGCUUGCCAGUCCUAGAUGAGAGAACUUUCAACGCGGCGCAUAAAUUGUUGUUGAUCUGUUUUAUAUAUUUUGACCUUUGUGAUUUGUGAAUACAUGGUUUGAUUCCAGUGUUUACAACUUUGAUACUGUGUAUAACUUGAGAAGCAAAUGAAACAAAUAGGAAAUGUGUUUUUAUUUUUUUUAUUCUAUCUAUCUAUUUAUUUUUUUGUUUCGAAAUGUAACAAUUUAUAGCUGGCAAAGUACUAGAGUUGUAUACUUGUAUUUAAUUCAUUAUUAUUAUUUUUUUAAUGACUCAGUAACGUCAUUGUCCAUGGUGUUUUGUCAUUUCGAAAGUACUUAACCCUUUGACGCUAAGGCACAUUACAGCUAGGGAUGGCAAUGGGGAGGGGAGGGGAGGGGAUCGAUCUCCCCGUACCCAUCCCUGAUAUUUUGCAUAUGUCCAUGUCCCCGUCCCCGUCAGAAUUACUUGAGAGAAUCCCCAUCCUCUCUCCGAAUAAUAACAGGGGAUCCCCGAAUAACUAAUACAUUUUUAUUUUUUUUUCGAUUUUGAGUUAAUCAUAUUAAAAUAAAAAAUUUAAAUAAAAGUAAAGUUCGAAAUAUAUCUUACAUUAAUAUCUAUUACAAAAGUUACAUACAUUAAAUUAGUAAGUAACGCAACAUGCAAGGGAUACAAACUUCUUUUACAAACUAUCAUGAAUAAAUUAAUAGUCUAAUACAAAAUUGUUACAAAUAAAAUUGAAUUUAGAUUCAAAAUUAACUUUUUCAAUAGUGGCGUGGGCACUUUAUAAAUGUGGACUAUUCCCUUUACAACACAAUAGUUAAAUCGGAGCAAAUCAAAAGUAAAUAUUAGAUUAGAUUAGAUUAAAUAUUAAAAUUGUGAUUCGCUGUGGGCAAUUAUAACAUCUAAAAAUAAAUAAAAAAUAGAUUUAAGUUUAAAAUAUUUAAAGAAUAUUAAAAUUAAAAAAAAUGUUGGGCUAAUAGAAUAUACUCGGUCUUUUUAAUGUCCUAAAUAAAAAUUUAGGACUUUAAUUAGUUAAUUAGGCCUAAAAAUUUAAUAAUAUAAAUAUUUUGAUAUUUUUUAUUUUUACCAAUAUUUAUAAUUUAAAUUUUAUUAUUUAUUUACUAGUAAUUUUAAAAAAUUAAAAUAAAAUUAAAAAUUAAAAUGGGGAAAUGGGUAGGGGAUGGGGAUUCCACCUCAUCCCCGUCCCCUCCCCGAAUAAGAAAUUGGGUAAAAAAAUUUCUUCGUCCCUUUCCCGAAUAAGAAAUUGGAUAUGAAAUUAUUCGUAUACCCUCCCCGAAUGGAAAAAAAUACCCGAGAGUACCCGUCUCCAUGAGGAUUUUUGCCAUCCCUAAUUACAGCAGCCGAAAUUUUGAGCUUUCAGUUCUUGAUUUUAGCGUGAGGGGUAUCUUUGUCGUUUCAGUUGUCAACAAACAAUUUGGGGGGGGGGGGGGGGGGGGGGGGGGUGGGUUGUUGGAGAUACGCUGAUACUUUCUAUCAUACUGGAGAUACACCUAACCUCAGGGGAGGAAAAUUACACCUUUACGACGUGUGAACUUGGGUCAAACUUUCAUAUUUUAAUCAAGUAGGUCGAUCACGAUUCAAGCUUCAGUCAUAAGCCUUUCGUUAUGAUUGAUAUUAUUCUUUCUUGAUAGUAUCAUGGAAAAUGCAAACGAAAAGUCAGCAUCUUUGAGUUUUGUCUCAUCAUAUCCGACUUGUUGGUCUACUAAUCAAUCGACAGGCCCUUUUGAUCUUGAUAAUUUGAACUUAAGGAGGCAAAGCAGCAAUCCUGAAGAGCCAUUGCUUGAUGCUGAGAUCGUUGUUGACGGCAAAUCAGUGGCAGUUAAUCGCAGCAUAUUGUCUGCACGCAGUCGUUUUUUUCAUUGGCUUUUUCAUUUGAGCAGUGAUGGUUCUGUGAGUGAGGGGAAACCCAAGUAUCUUAUGACUGAUUUGGUGCCUUAUAGGAAGGUUGGAUAUGAAGCUUUUAAUGAUAUCUUGCAUUAUCUUUACACUGGAAUGCGUAAGGCACCUCCUUCAGAAGUGUUCACGUGUGUUGAUGAUACUUGUGUUCAUCUUGUUUGCCCUCCUGCUAUUAAUUAUGUUAUUGAGUCGAUAUAUGCUUCUGCUGCUUUUAAGAUGACAGAGGUCGUUUCGGUUUAUGAGGUAGUUGCGCUUUCCCGCUACUUGUAUUGCUUAAAUUUAUGCUUAUUGGUAUAGUUUUAACAUAUGUGGGAUUGAAAUCAAUUUCAGUUGUGACUUGCAAAGAGCCAAAGAAUCUGUUGUUUUAUUUUGAAAGAGACAAAGAUGAUGAUGAUGGGCAGUGAACUCUAGGAAUCAAUGCUUGCUGACACUGACACCCAAGAAUGAUAAAAACUAACCAAAAAGGUAUAUAGAUUACAUGAGUCUGAAUUUGAUAAGUGCACCUAUCCUAUCGCAAAAAGCUUUUGCGUUCAGUUUCUAACCAAGGAAAAUUGUCACUUCUGUCUGUAGGCUUCAUAGAUUUGUUCAAGCCUUCAAGGAUGUCUAGCUGUUACUUAGGGUCCAACAAUGGUGCUACAUUUCUAGUGAAUGAUAUGUUAUCUACAUCUGUAUAUUGGAACUUUGACAAACUUCGCCUUUCCUUUGUUGAUACACUCGUCUCACUUUUAUUAAAUUGCCUGAUUAUGAAAUGGUCUAUUGGAGACUAGCAUUGGAAGGUUUCUUCUGGAGAAAAUUUUACUUGCCACCAAUUUUCAUUUUGGUCGGUGUCAGUUCAUGCGCUGGCUUGAUUGUUCUGUUAUUUAGGUUGUUUUAUCCGUAUUUUCUCACUAUCUUGAUAGUUAGUUCUCUCAUACUUCCAAUCUCAGCAGUGAAUGCGAAAGAUUCUCUUUUUCCUGUCCAGGUUAUAACCUAGCAAAUCAAUAAUGCUGUAGAAUAACAUCUUGUGUAGGUGAGCUUAUGUCUCUGAACAUUGGUCCACCGGCAUUUAGGUUCGAUAAGCAUGGCAUUGAUUUUCCCCCUCAUUGUUAUUUUCCUGCACAGAUUACCCCCUUUAAGUAUUUGAAUUUUGAAUACAUUAUUCUGAAUCAAAACUCUAUACGUCCGUGUAGCAUUUUAUAUAUGCUUUAUGAUAUUUACCAAUAAUUACCCACUGCGAGGUAUUUGAAUUUUGAAUAUAUUAUUCUGAAUCAAAACUCUAUCUGUCCGUGUAGGAUUGGCUUCUGAAGGUGGUUCGGGAGGCUCUUGUGGAAGAUGUAAUACCAAUUCUCGUAGCUGCCUUGCAGUGCCAACUGUACCCACUCUGUUCUUUCUGCAUCCAGAGAAUUGCAAGGUCAAAUAUUGACAAUGUUUGUCUCGAGAAAGAGCUUCCUGAUGAAGUUUCAAGUCAAAUCAAAUCACUCCGGGUCAAAUCUAACCAGGAGUCUGAAGCUAACAUAAAAGAAGUGGAUCCUAUGCAUGAAAAGAGAGUCAGAAGAAUCCACAAGGCGUUGGACUCUGAUGAUUUUGAACUGCUGAAUCUUCUUCUGAAUGAAUAUAAAGUCACUUUAGAUGAUGCUUACGCUCUGCACUAUGCUGCUGCCUACUGCAACCCUAAGGUUUUUAAGGAAGUGCACAAUAUGGGCUUGGCUGAUAUCAAUCUUAAGGAUGCAAGAGGACGUACGGUGCUUCAUGUGGCUGCAAGGCGUAAGGAGCCAGAAGUGAUGGUGGCUCUGCUGAGCAAGGGAGCAUGCUCAUCAGAAACUACACCAGAUGGGCAAACAGCUGUAGCAAUCUGUCGGAGAAUGACAAGGCGAAAGGAUUAUAUUGAAGCUACAAAGCAGGGGCAGGAAACUAACAAAGACUGGUUAUGCAUUGAUGUCCUUGAGAGAGAUAUGACAACGAACUCCACGUCUGGGAACUUGGCAAUGUCAUCAGAGGUGAUAGAUGAUGUUUUCCAAAUGAAUCUGGACUAUCUGGAAAAUAGAGGUGAUAUUUCUUUACUGGUAUUAAUUCAUCACCUUCUCAGAGUUUGUGCAUAGCACACUUCUUUUUACUAUUCGAUUGUCCCUUCAUCUUAGCAUCUCAAACACAAAUGGGCUCAGUGCUUGGAGCACACUGUUGGCCAGUCAUGUGAUUUGAUCCCUUUUUUGGAAUAGACAAUUCUGAAUACUGGUCUAGGCUUGGCGGUUUGCACUGAACUGGUUUUUGAUGAGUAAUUGCACAAGACUUUGUCAUCAAAACUUUUUUUUUUGGUUUUUUUUCCCCAAAAGUAAUGAGGUACAAAAAAUUUUUUGCCUAUCCUGGAUGAGUGCCGCAACAGCUUCUUAAUAUUUUGCAGUGGCUUGUGUACGGUUGUUUCCUUCUGAAGCUAGAGUAGCUAUGGAAAUGGCAGGUGCAGAUAUCGCCACUGGCCUUUCAGCAUUAGGUCGGAAAGGACUAAGUGGGAACUUAAAGGAGGUUGAUUUGAAUGAAACGCCCUCUAAGCAAGCCAAAAGAUGCCAAUUGAGACUGCUCACUCUGCUUAAAACAGGUAUUUACAUACUUUAUUAACUUUUGCGCCUUUCUAUUUACUGAUUAUCUUUAUAAUUAAAUAAUACAUGUAUCCAGGUUUCUCCUUCCAUUUCAUUAGAAGUAAAUUGGAAUCUCUUUAUAGUGCUCUGUUAGGUGUAAUCAGACGUAUCAAAAGAGACAGGGUAAUUGUUAGUACAUUGAUAUCUCAACAAAAUGGUAGAACCUUGCUUUAUACCACUAAAGACAUUUGUUGCAGGUAUGCCUACAUAAUCAGUGUCCUUUAAAACUUUCAAGGAGUUCGCAAUGCCUAACCCUUGAAACACUAAAUCUCACUAGAUCAACUCUUUACCUCUGGACUGAAGGUGUGACACCCAGACCCAAUUAGGGCUUAGAACACAUAUCGAAUCUGAGCGAAACUAAAUGCUUGUAAAUCCAAAUCUCCAAAAUAUCAAAAGGUCAUCUACUUUCUCUUUUCAUAGAUUUCACAAAAUUUUGAAAAACUCAUUCUCAAUCAUAAACUAUGCCCAGCUAAUUAAUCAACAUAUCACUAUACAACAAUACUUCCUCAUAAGCAAAUAAAUCUUACAAUCCUUCUUCCAUGAUUUAAAAAAAAAAAAAGAAAUAGUUCUAGAAGUCUUCUAAAUACAAACAUAAACAGAAUUCAACUGCUAAAACUGUGCCAAAAUACUAGCUUCAAUCAGUAAUACACACGACUAAUUAUUAAAUCAGUAAUACACGCGACUAAUUAUUAAAAACAUCUAGCUAGAAACCUUAUGAAAGCUCAAUCCUUCCGAAGCAUUCUUCGAAUUAAUAAUUGCUACCAUCUGUGAAAAAUAAUUGACAAGGGGUCAGCUGUUAACUCAAUCAGUAGAAACACUAAUAAUGAACAGAAAGAAUUCUUUGUGCAAUAUUUUCAGAAAAUUCAUUUAACCUUUCAAAUGAAACAGAGUAAUUUUUCAAACACAGUCAGGACUUAUAUAAAAUAUAAACAUUUCCGACAGAAGCUUUUUGGAACGUAAAUUUUGCUUCUUUAAACAGAAAGUUAUACAUUAGUUUGAUUUUAAAGGGAGGUUAUUGGGAAGUUAAAAUUGGCAGUUGUGGUAAAAGAGUAAUAGCAGUUAUAAAAUCUCUUUAAAAACAAAUUCGAAUCAAGUUUCAAAGUUUGGAAGUACUUAAUUCAAUAAAAUAAGGAAUAAAUAAAGCUUUCACUGAAACAAAACUAAGUAAAUUCAUUUAAAGCAAAACCGGAUGGGAGCAUUACCUAAGGAUUCUUGACCAUACCAUGUUUACCCGCAGUCAGAUAGCUGGGACCUUGUUAUUUGGGGACAAGACUUGAUUGUGCCAUGUUUUCCGCAGCCAGAUAUCUUUUACUUCAUUAUUUCCUAGACAUCUGUGGAUAAGAGAACCCUAAGCCUAUAGAGAAUAAAUUAUGUAAUCCAAGACUCUUCAGUCCUUUCAUUUGUGGCUAAUUAGUUAUAAAAUUUGUAAAUUUCAUGCCCCACGCCCCUUGCAAAAUGCAUUUUAUAUCCUUAAAAUGCCAGUGGAUGAACUGAAAUAAUAAAAAAUGGAAAACAGACUUAAUGUUGGUAGCAUUUCUUAAGAAAAACUUGGGAAGUUUAUAAUUUUCUUAGAGCAUUUGCUGAACUUUCUGUGAUCGCAGUCGAGACGGGUCAACGCUAUUUCCCUCAUUGCUCAGAUGUGGUUGAUAAGUUUAGGUAUUGCAACCGCCCUCAUUGCUCAGAAUUGAUUGAUGAGUUUUUGGAUUGUGAUUGGUCCGAUGCUUCCCUCCUAGAAAAGGGUACUCCUGAAGAGCAGAAACUAAAAAGGGCAGGCUUCAUGAAACUUAGAGUAGACAUGCAGGAGGCACUCCGCAAGGACGUGGCUUAUCACCGUUGUUCAGGGCUGCCAUCAUCCUGGUCGGCAUUUUACAAGUACAUGGCUGAGAGCAUUCGUUCAGGUAUGCCGACAUCCUCAGCAGCGAGCAAUUAAGCAUCACCUUUCCCCAAAAGUUAUAUUUGACUCCUGGGAAACUAAAGAGUUUAGUGAGCUUGAUUGGUAUUUGUAGUUUUUUUUCCCUCAAGUGAUCUGGCAUGUAUCAAUUAGUUUGUAAAAUUAUUGUAUGGAUCACAAACUCACAGAAUAUUUUUUUUGUAAAAUUAUGUAAUUUAUAGGCUAUGCUCAAAAAAUUAGAAAAAGAAAAAAGAAUUGUAUUACAGUUGGUAUGAGACAUGCAUGUGUAAGAUAAUCUUGUUUUUUUGUUUUUUGAAACUGGAAACUUCAUUAAAAGGCAAAGAUUACAGAGAAGUAAGUAACCAAGGAGGUGGAACAUGACUCCACUCCUUAAAGCCCGACAAAGAAUCCCCCACCCGGGCAGUAACAUGGGCAGCAGUGUUCGCAGACCUUCGAACAAAAGAGAAUUCAAUAUCUCCUAUAGACUUAGCUAAAGCUAGACAAUCAUCAAGAAUAAGACCACACCAAUUAGGACAAGAAUAACUUUAUGUGAGAGCUUUAAAAACCUGAAUGCAGUCCAUUUCAACUACAACACAUAUAAUCUUUUGUUUUAAAAAACAGAAAACUGGAGAUUUCUUUUAUUUUUCCUUAAAAAAUGAAGAAAAUUUUAGAAAGUAGUGAGAGAAAUAAAGUAAUUAUAUUCAUAAAUAUAAUGUGUUUGCUGCAGCAACACAAACUAAUAAAUUAUAAUUUAUGAGAUUAGCUUAGAGAAUCAUACAUAUAAAAUUAUAUUCUUUGAGUAAAAAUCUACACAUCUCUUUUAACUUCUCAUUUAGAUGUUCUUUCUAAAAUCUCUCCAGCGAUAAAUACAUUUUUAUAAAACAAAACAGAAAAAAAAAAUAUAAUUGUUUAUAAGGGGACUCACCUAUGUUGCAACAGUGAUAUUAUACCGCGGUUUUGUCUUUAUCUCAUGUUACCAUUAGAUUUUAAAGCAAGUGAUCCAACGCACAAGAGAUGGCCACGUUUCUAUUAAAGCAAACUGGGAAAUUCGGUUAAGAAAAGGUAAAAUUACUUGUAACAGAACUCACCGUGGGUUACUCAACUUUGCUCUGUGAAAAUGCACGGUUGCCUGUUGCAUAAGGAUUGUAGAGAUGUAAGCCCACAGUGACUGUGUCUGUGCUCAUCGCCACCUCGAAGUUGCCAAGGGAGCUUCCCCUUUUCGGCCGUCAUGUCCGACAGGAAAAUACCAAGCUCCACCGGCGCUCUCAUUUGUCGCAAGGGUUUAAAGGGUUUCAAUUAUUGAAUGAGCAGAAGAAAAUUUAUUGAAAGAGAGAGUGUAAUUAUCAGAAAUUGGUUAGGCAUGGAAUGUUUAAUAUUCUUUUCUUAAAUCUUAAAUCAUUUUGGGUAUUUGGGUGCUUGUGAAUUUUAUUUUCUUGUAAUGAAUUUAUGAAUAUUUUUACUUGGGAUUUGUCUCGGUGAAAAGUUUAUUUUAUUUUAUUUAUUUGUGGAUAAAUGAAGUUGAUGUUUUUGGUAUUAUAAAACUAGGUUGUUUGUAGGCGUUGUAAGAAUAUUGACAUAUUAUGCCAUGUUUGUCAAUCUAAAUAAAAUAUAAGAAAACCCGUUUGCUUGUUCUCAUGUAGCUUUGAGAUUUGUGAGUCACUUUGUAGUGGGUUGCAACAUGGUUUGUCGUUGAAAAUGAAUUGGCUGUAAAGGGUGAAAUGAUGCUGAAGAUAAGUUGAAAUUGAAUUCAUUAAAGUGGUUUGAGCACUAAGGUAAUCAUCCACACUGUAAUACUUUUUUAAUAUGCAUAAAAAAGAAAGAAAUAUGAAGUUUUAUAUACAGGUUUACUUGUUUUAGGUGGCUGAAACUUUGUUUAGAUGCCAUCUUUUUCCUUUCAACUGGCAAAUAUUGACAAUGCUGAGUACUACACAUGGUUAAUUAGGGAUAUAGAGUUUGUUAGUUUGGUCAUUGAAGUAUAGAUUGAAAAAAUGCAUAAUAUAUAUGUUUCAACAUUUAACCACUUUUCAAUGAGGUAGCUACUUUACUUGCUAGUUCAAUUUUUAUGGGAUUGGUGUUUUUUCUGUUUGACAUGCAUUAUACAUUUAUCAAUUUUACCAAGAUAAGAGUUGCAUAAAUCUGUUGAAAUAUUUCAUUCGAGGAUCGGUUUAAGAGUGUUUUUCUGCAGAACUUAGAAAAUGUAUUCUUGAAUGCUCUGUAUUCGGGCUUUAUAAUUUGUUAAAAUUUUGAAAAAAGAGGGCAAUCAUUUAUUUACAGAUUGAAAGCGAAAACGACUUGAUCCCCAUCCCUGACGUCCCCCCAUCGCAGUGAUAUGGACCUAUAAAGUGCAUCUCAGUACAUUGAUUGAGUUGUUAUCUAACCCCUUAAUUGAGUUGAUUGAUUGUCUGGGUAUUUUUAAUUUUUUUUUGUUAUUAGUGGAAUUUUGAUUUAUUGGAAUGCAAAAAUGAUGAUUUUUCAAUUUUUUUUUUUUUUUUCUAGGGGAUUGGUUGUGAGCAUAAUCAAAUUACUUAGCUAAAUCAAAGAGAUGGCUACUAUUGGUUAGCUGGGAACUAUUUUUAUCUGACUGACCUCUAAGCUGAUAAUUCUAAUCCAUUAUGAUUUAUUGGUUUUAUCUGCAUGUGGAUUAUUGCAUUGAAGCAUCAGUUAGUUGCUGUAGAUUAGUUUUCUACCAAGUAUUAUGUACUUCAGUAAAAUUCUGAGGGUGAUAAUUGUUAAAUCUCGCUUAAAUUCCAUUCAUGUGAGCAAGAUACAAUUUUGUUCUAAUUUUCUUCUAAACUUUUAUAUGGUGGAAAUCUUCUUAGAAUUAAGAUUGUUGUGCAUUCUUCUUGUAUUUGCUCAGUUGAUGAAUUUCACAGAGUUGCCUGUAUUCAUUGUUGUGUGAAGACAUCAUGUAUGGUUUGCUAUCGUGUCUUGCUUGAUUCUACUUCAUGUGAACUCAUCUCCCACAUUCUGAGCACUGCUAUAUUGUUUUCCGAAAGUUAUUGAGCAUUUUGCAAAUCAAGUUUAUUACAAUUGCUUCUUAUAUAGACGAAGUGUAAUAACUUACAACUGGUACUAAGACUACUUUAUAUCCCUUAUCCCACUAGAAAGAAGGCCCUUAUGUUCCUAAAUUAUAUGUUCUCCUAUUACAUAUUACAAGCUAGGAUAAAGCAAUGAUACAAGCUAAUCAGGUACGAUGCAACCAAAAAUUUCAAUUUUAAAUUUAUUCUUGUUAUUUUACAUUGAAAUAGAAUUAGAAUGAGAAUCCUUCAGUGUCAAAUGGGAAGUUUGAAACAAAUUUUGCAGGAUCAAAAGGGAAUUGGCGGCUAAAUUGCUGGCUGAUUGUAACAUAGCUCAGGGAGAUCAAAUUCUGAUUGCUGCAGAUUAUGAACAUCUCCAAAGUUCAUCUGGUAUUGUGAAAUGUAAUAAAAGUUUGAUUUAGCUGUGGCAUGAGGCAUAAAUGAUGAGGAUUAGUGGCUGAAUUGGUGACUAAUUGUAGCUUAGGGAGAUUAGAUUCUGAUUGUAGCUCAGGGAGAUCAGAUUCUGAUUGCUGCAGAUUAUGAACAUCUCCAAAGUUCAUCUGGUAUUAUGAAAUGUAAUAAAAGUUUGAUUCAGCUGCGGCAUGAGGCAUAAAUGAUGAGGAGAAACCACCCAAGAAAUUAUUCUCAUCAAGCAUCGAAGACGAAAAGCAAUGGUCAUUGCUAUGUGUGUGUUCAAAUGAUGUCGUCAGAAAAGAUAGAAGAGAUGCAAUCUCUUUAUUGUCCAAGUACUCAUUAUUAACACCUGAGCCUUUUUUAUGAUUGUUACUAUGGUGGCUUAGUUUUUGUUCAUGUUUUUAUCGCGAUGUUGGUUGUGGAAUCGAUUGGCUGCCACUGAAACAAAUGUGUUCCUCUGUAUGUGACCUCAAAUAUGAAGGGGUCUUCAUCUGAUCUUUGCAAUUGCUUUUUAACCCAAUAGUUUUGUGUAUUUUUGUAGGUGUAUCUGUAAUAGCUUCUGCAAAUCCAAAUUAAUAAUAAUAAUAAUAAAAGCUCAUAAUCAGACUUAUCAAUAAGAAAAACUCGUCAAUUAAAAAAAUUAAAUGUGAUAAGAGGAAAUACUUUUCACCUGGGAUAUUUGGCCCCAAGGAUAUCUUUCUAGCCAUAUCUUCUCCAUCUAUAUCUAUCUGCAAGGGGUCCUUCAAGGCCACUCUCAAAGUCAACUUUAUCUGUCCGUCUUGGCAAUGUCUUUAUGCAGCACAAUUUUGCAAUAACCAUUAACAAGAAAAUAACUUGCAGACAUUCACAGGGUAAAUAAAUAUUCAUUUAAGAUUACAAAUUCACCUUUGCUUUGAUCUAUCUUGAUUAUCCUUCAAAGCCCCAUCAAAAUCCUCACUUUAAGGGCUCCUAUUGAUGGAUAUUGGAGACUCAGGUAGUGCACUACUAGUUGCUCCCAUAACUUGAGCCUGUCCCAUUGAGCCACUCUAUUUCAGAAUCAAAAGAGCUUUCUCAUUUGAAGACAAUAUCAUCUGCACUAGUACUUCACUUGUUUCGGCUGAUAUGUGAAUAUGGUUAAUGCUACAGGUGGCAUUGAGGCAUAACGUAAGGACCAAAUUUCAAACACUACAAAACCAUAUCAAAAAAAGUUUGCUCUUCCAGCGCGAUCUUUCUCAUUUGCCUUGGCAAUAACAUUCAAAGCAAAUCUCUCCAGGAACAAAUUGCCUUCAGGCCCCAACUUCAAUGACUUCUUAUCUUGCAAAGGACUAAUAUCAUUCUCACCAAUUACGAAAAAUACAUAAUGAUGAAAGGAACCAUAAAUCUGGGAGAGAACAAAUACAUUAAAAUUUUAUUGCCUCAAAUUUUACAUUUAACUGAAUAGCAGUCACAAUGUGAGAAAUUUCAAAAAAAGUCAGUGAAAUGAAAUAACCAAAAGGAAGCUCCACAACUCAAAACUACAUAAAUCAUUCGAUACCUUAAAAACACUAGACAACAACCUUAAAAACUACAUAAUCCUGCUGCAUCCGCUUCGAAUGACACAACAACAAAUAAAAAUUGUAUUGAUUAAUAGUAAUAAAUUACAGUUGGUAUGAGACAUGCAUGUGUAAGAUAAUCUUUUGUUUUAAAAAACAGAAAACUGGAGAUUUCUUUUAUUUUUCCUUAAAAAAUGAAGAAAACUAUAGAAAGUAGUGAGAGAAAUAAAGUAAUUAUAUUCAUAAAUAUAAUGUGUUUGGUGCAGCAACACAAACUAAUAAAUUAUAAUUUAUGAGAUUAGCUUAGAGAAUCAUACAUAUAAAAUUAUAUCCUCUGAGUAAAAAUCUUCACAUCUCUUUUAACUUCUCAUUUAGAUGUCCUUUCUAAAAUCUCUCCAGCGAUAAAUACAUUUUUAUAAAACAAAACAGAAAAAAAAAAAAAAAUAUAUAUAUAUAUAUAUAUAUAUAUAUAUAUAAUUGUUCAUAAGGACUAUUUGUACAUAGUACACAAUUGGCCACCAAAGUUAUUUUGGGAGAAAAUUUACAUGAGAUGGGUACAUCACAUCAUCAGUAUUUUUGUCUCAAUUUCAACAUGCGUCUGUUGUACGAAUCUUACGAGAAUGGUCUCUCAUAAAUAUGAGAGAUGGUGAGGAGUGGGUUAAAGUGCAUCUACAUAGAAUUAAUUAAAAUUAAAAUUUUAUUUUUUUUAACUAUUUUUAAUUAAAAGUAGUAGUUAUUCUUUUUAUUAUUGUUAUUCUCGUUAUAUCAACAUCAAGUGACUGGUGAUCAAAUUAAGUAGCUCAUUAAAUUUUUUAAGUGACGUAUGUUAUGGAGUUUCUGUGCAUCUAUUUAAAUAGUAAAAUAUUUAAUUUUGCUUGUUGUAAAAUUUUAAUUUACGUGGGUUAAAAAAGAAAAAAAAAAGAAAAAAGAAAUUGACUUAUUAAUUAAUUAACAAUUAUAGAAAGAAUAAAUUGAAAAUUGUAGUUGGGUGAGAAAACUAAUUCCUUUCCCUGGCUUCGUGCGUUUGCUUUUGCCCUUGCGAGCACGAAUUUGAAUCCAAUACUUUAUAAUAAAGAUAUAAUAUUAUUAUAAUACUAAUAAUUAACAUUAAAAUAUUAUUUAUGCCAGUAUUAAAGUAGUAAAUAUCUAAUUUUAAGAUUAUGGAAAGCUCCGAAAAAUCCGGACGUGGAAAAAACCCUAGCGCUGGAGGAAUUUUCCCUCCGCCGUUCAGGGAAACUAGAACCACUAAGAAAGCACGGUUUCGUGAUGAGGAGGUUGCUGAUGAUACCCCUGUGCAUGUCUCGUAUAAGGAAACCCUCGUGAACUCAUCGCGAGCAAUGGAGACGGGUUAUGGUGGCGAAACAGUGGACUGGGAGUUUGAGGAAGGGGAUGUGACUGAGAAUAAAGAUGGACCUAUGCCUUCCAUAACCUUCUCGGAUAGGGUUCAUGAGAAGUUAUGUGCGCCAUGGAAGAACUCAGUGAUAGUGAAGUUGCUGGGCCGGACAAUCGGAUAUAAAACACUCUGUACGAGAUUGAAUGCUAUGUGGAAAACAACAAUGAGUUACUCGGUGAUCGACUUAGAAAACAACUAUUUCCUGGUUCGUUUUCGUUCGGCUAAUGAUGCUGUUGAUGCCCUCACAAAAGGCCCUUGGAUUAUCAUGGGACAUUAUCUCACGGUGCAGCCAUGGACGCCAUCUUUUGAUUUCAAUACAACGGAUAUGGAUCAAGUUAAUGUAUGGAUCCGUUUACCUGGACUCGCUGUUCAUCUAUAUAACCAGAAAAUUCUUCAAAAGCUCGGACAGUUGGUGGGUACAGUGAUUAAAAUUGAUUCGAACACAGCUUCCUCUGCGCGUGGGAGAUUUGCCCGACUUGCAGUUAGUCUCUCCCUGGCUAAGCCUUUAGUUUCUCAGUUUGUGUUGGAUGGUAAGGUACAGAAGGUAGAGUAUGAGAGGCUGCCAGUGAUUUGCUUCACAUGUGGUAGAUACGGCCAUAGUAGUAGCAAUUGCAAGGACUCGAGUUCAAUAAACAAUUCUGGAGAGGGUGCUCAACCACAACCUAAUAUGGAACGUCAGGAGAUCCCUAUCAAACUAGAUGAACAUUGUAAUGAUGCUAGUAUUGCCGAGCCGUUUGGACCAUGGAUGAUAGCCACGAGAAAAGGCAGAAAAUUUAAUAGUGGCAAGGACAUGACCAAUGGUUUUCAUAGGAACCGUGAGACUAUAGGGGCUAAUUUGUCCAGAUUCCAAAUAUUAGAGCAGGUCACUGACGACCGUGAGAACCCCUUCCAUGCAGCUAUGAAAGAUAACCCUUCCACUUCUCAUCAACCAACCACGGCCAAUCCUCACCAGAUAUUCACUGCCAACCAUGAAGCUAGAACAAAAACUCCGGCUCGACACAAGCAACACACCACAGCUGUUACUACAAAACCCCAGAGGAAGACCCCAACCCGAAACCCUUUCCAACAGAGGGCUUUCACUAUAAGAGAGGAAAAUACAAACUAUUCACUUCAUGCAAACCCUCAGACCACAUCAUGCUUUAACCCUCAGAUUAGCCCUAGUCAUCAACAAAUCUCCCCUCUUGUUACAACCUUGGACCCAAAGAAGCAUACGGUGAUUUUUUGUGCUACCCAAAACUUUCCUGCUGGGGGUGUAAGGGAGGCAGUCAGCGAGCAUAGAGAUUGGUUGUGACCAGAAUAUGAACACUCGUCUGACCCUCCAGACGAUCAAAAUGCGGCUCGUGUAAACGACAUAAAUGCUCAAGCACAUCCGGAUGUGUAUAUGGGUGAAAAUAAUGGGGAGGAGAUGUCCGAUGAGGAGGAUUCGAUGAUUGAGGAAACACCCUCGGUGUUGAUGCCUGAAGUGAAUGGACAACAUUAAUAAGGUGUCUGCGUUUCCUUCUUUUGUUUUGUUUAUUUCAUGACGAUUAGCAUUAUGUAUUGGAAUGUCCAAGGGGCAGCUUCGGCUGAUUUUCGGCGCUCUUUUAGGACAAUUAUUAAAAAUUAUAAUCCAUCUAUGGUGGUUUUGAUGGAGCCUCGCAUUAGUGGGGUUAAAGCAGAUGAUUUCAUAAAGAUGAGUGGUUUCGAUCAUUCUCACCGAGUGGAAGCAGAGGGCUUUUCUGGUGGAAUUUGGCUUCUUUGGCAGAGUUACAUAGAGGUGGAGGUACUGCUGAAUCAUAGGCAGUUUAUUCACUUUAAAAUAUGUAGGAAUAAUGUAUUUGUGUCUUGGGGAAUGGCUGUCUAUGCUAGCCCAAACCCAAUGUUGCGGAGACAGCUGUGGAAGCAUAUGGAUAGCAUUGCUAUGUCGACUCAAGGGCCUUGGCUAAUUGGAAGGGAUUUUAAUUCUAUUUUGUAUGCUUCUGAAAAGCAGGGGGGUGUUACACGGAGUUCUGGAGUGUGCGACAUUUUUCGGCAGUGGUUUGAUGGGCACCGAAUUUUUGAUCUAAAAUUUAAAGGUCCUCGGUUUACCUGGUCUCGUGGACUUCUGUUUAAACGUCUUGAUAGAGCUCUCUGUAAUAGUGAUUGGCUAACAAAAUUUGCGGACAAUUCUGUUCUUCACCUUCCGAAAGUUGCUUCAGAUCACAGGCCGGUGCUGGUUCGUUUCGAGAAAGCUGAUUCAAGACAUCGGGGGUCUAGGCCAUUCCGUUUUUUAGCACCUUGGCUGACUCAUGUACACUUCAAUUCUUUUGUUAAGAAAGUGUGGGACCCUCAAGCCCAUUAUAGUGAUGCGGCGUCCCAUUUUUUCCAAGCAGUCCAAGAGUGGAAUAGGGAGGUGUUUGGGAAUAUUUUUCAGCGAAAACGACGACUAAUGGCUCGAAUAAAUGGGAUUCAGGCUGCCUUAGAAAGUUACAACUCCCGAGGGCUUGUGCGUUUAGAGGCUAGGUUACGGAACGAGUUAGAGAUGGUGAUGGGUCAAGAGGAAAUUUUUUGGUGGCAAAAAUCUAGGAAAGAUGAGCUCUUGCACGGGGACAGGAACACUAACUUUUUCCACCAAAAAACCAUAGCAAGAAGACGGAGAAAUAGAAUUGAAGCUAUUCAAGAUAGUUCGGGAAACUGGAUUUAUAGCGAGGAAGAGAUUCGUAAUCAUGCAAUUGGGUAUUUUUCAUCUUUAUACAGAAGUGAAGCUACAACCCCUCAACACUAUCAGGUACCGAAUUUUUUUCCAGUCUUGAAUGCUUAUGAUUUGGAGAGUACUACUGACCUAGUUUUGGAUGAAGAAAUUAAAAGGGUGGUUUUUAGCAUGAAGCCCCUCAAAGCUCCAGGUACUGAUGGCUUACAUGCCAUCUUUUACCAGUCUCAAUGGCCAGUUGUUGGGCCUUCCUUCUGCAAGCUUAUGGCUGAUAUUUUUAGUUCGGGCAAGAUCCCCCAGGAAAUCAAUACCACCCUUUUGGUAUUGAUUCCUAAAGUGGAGCACCCUACUAGCCUAAGUAUGUUUAGGCCUAUCAGUUUGUGCACAUUUGCUUAUAAAACAGUAACUAAAAUAAUUGCUAACCGCCUGCAAGCCUUGUUGCCUGAACUCAUAGGACCCCAUCAUACUAGCUUUGUACCCGGCCGCCAUAUUAUCGAUAAUAUUGUCGUUGCUCAGGAAGUGGUUCACUCCAUGCGAAAGAAAAUGGAGAAAAAAGGGUUUAUGGCUAUCAAGGUGGAUCUUGAAAAAGCGUAUGAUCGACUUAAUUGGGCCUUUAUUUUUUAUACUCUUCAACAAACUGGUCUUCCGAUUCAGUUAUCUAGACUUGUCAUGGAAUGUGUAACUUCGGCUCGAAUGAGUAUUUUGUGGAAUGGUGAGGCUACAGCAGAAUUUGCCCUAGGGAGAGGAAUCCGUCAGGGAGAUCCGCUAUCUCCUUAUAUUUUUGUCUUGUGCAUUGAACGGUUGAGUCAUGGAAUAACCCAAGCCGUGAGGGAUGGUAACUGGAAGCCUAUUCGAUUGGCCAAGCAUGGAACUCCACUAACGCACUUAUUUUUUGCAGAUGAUUUGCUCCUUUUUGCAGAGGCGUCAAUUGAUCAAGCUUAUACUAUAGAUGCAGUGCUAGAAAAUUACUGCCGAAGCUCUGAAGCUAAGGUCAAUAAGUCGAAAACUAAAAUUUAUUUUUCUAAGAAUGUUGUUUCAAGAGAAGCUCAGCUCCUCAGUGAUGUUUUGGGGUAUUCAGUUACAAAGGAUUUGGGGUGCUAUCUUGGAAUGCCACUUCUCAAUUCGAGAGUGAAUAAAGCUACUUAUCAAAUGAUUCUUGACAAGGUGGAUAAGAGGCUCACGGGCUGGAAUGCAGCUCAUUUAUCCUUUGCUGGCCGAAUCACUUUGGCCCAUUCGGUGCUUCAAGCAAUGCCAAUUUAUGCAAUGCAGACGACUUUACUCCCAGCUCCGGUGCGUGGGAAGAUUGAGAAGUCUUGCCGUCGGUUUAUUUGGGAUGGGAAGUCGAAGAGCCAUAAGAUGAGCAUGGUGGGUUGGAAUAAAAUGUGCAUGCCGAAACCUAAAGGUGCCCUGGGGUUUAAGAAGAUGGAUGUGAUGAAUCAGGCUUUGUUGAUGAAGCUGAGCUGGGAAGUUGUUUCGAACUCAUACAAGUUAUGGGUAAAGGUUAUUUGUUCAAAGUAUGGGUUAGAUCCUAGCCAUUUACCGUUGUCCCUCCCUGAGAAACAAGGAACUAGAAUCUGGAAGGCCAUAAGGAGCACAUGGUCAGCCACCAUAAUGGGAGCUCGCUGGGCUGUCUGUGAUGGAGCUCGAACUCUCUUUUGGCUUGACUGCUGGGCAACAAAGCAAGGCCCGUUGAUCAAUCUCGUUGUCCAUCCAGUGCCUCAAGAGUUGGUUAACGCUACGGUGAGCGAGUUUAUAAACGUGCAUGGGGGCUAGAACUGGCCAGCUUUUGAACAUUUGCUUCCUAACUCUAUUCUGCUGCAAAUUGCUUCGGUAAUGCCUCAUAAUCGUCUUCUUGGUGUUGAUAAAAUCUACUGGCAUUUUGAACCAAGAGGUAACUUUAUGGUUCGCUCGGCCUAUGAGUCUCUAUGUCAGUUGGAUUCAACUGCUACCGACACUGCAUGAAAUCUAGCAUGGACUUGGAAAGGGCCGCAAGCAGUUCGCAUCUUCCUUUGGCAGGUUCUGCAUGCGAAGCUGAAGAUAAAGGAUGAACUAUCUAGGCGGCAUAUUCCUAUAUCUAUAGGUUGUGAACGUUGUGGGGCUCCACUUGAGGAUAUUAUCCACGUCUUGAGAGAUUGUCAUUGCAUCAAGAGGGUUUGGCUUCGGCUGGUGCCAGCUCGGAAUCAACUCUCCUUCUUUCAGUCUACAUUACGAGAUUGGAUUAUUGCUAAUUUACAAAAUAAGUGGAAAAUUGCUUCUCCAUUAUCUUGGGAAUGUAUCUUCGGCGUAGCGGUUUGGAGAUUAUGGUAUUGGCGGAAUCAUUUUAUCGUGCAUGGGAAGUUGGCGGAUAGCUCAACAGUUUAUUUAGAUAUUAUGGCCAGAGCUAACGAAAUCCAUAGACUAAAUAAUUCUCACAUAAGUCAGCAGCCGCGGCGAAAGGAAAUUUUUAUUGGAUGGCUUCCACCUCCAGGGCCUUGGUGCAAAUUGAAUACAGAUGGGUCUUGUAGAAAAUCUGAGGGUGCAGGAGCUGGGGGUAUUCUUCGAGACUCUGUUGGCCACUGGAUUUCUGGAUUUUGUAUGAAUAUUGGAGAAAGUUUGGUGCUCAUGGCUGAGCUUUGGGGGUUGUAUCAAGGAUUACGUAUAGCUUGGGAUACUGGCAUAAAACGUAUUUUGGUUGAAGUGGAUAGCCUUUGUGUUACUCAAAUGAUCUCGAAGCAGGUGGUUGUGCCUAACGAAUUCUAUGCAUUAGUCGCUGCUGUCCAGGAAUUAGUUAGCAGAAAUUGGCAGAUUUCCAUCACCCAUAUUUAUCGUGAAGCAAAUUCGGCGGCGAAUUUUAUGGCGAAUAUGGCUCAUUCACACCCCCAUGGGUUGCAUUUAUUUUCUAGCCCGCCUGUGGGUAUUUAUUCAAUUAUUGUGCAAGACUUAUUUGGGGUGUCUCAACCCCGUCUUAUUCAUGUUUAGCUCGCUUGUUUGAGCCCCAUUUAAUAAAAAAUACAUUAAAAUAUUAAAAAAUAAGAAAAAAUUCCAAAUUUUUCUAUUUCUGGUUUUAUUUCAGUUUAAUAUUAUUGGUUCCGUUCUGCUCUGUUCUUGGUUGUCUGUAUAUCUGUAUAUAUUUUUGGCCUCGAAUUGCUUUGAUCACCGGUUUUGUUCUUCAUUUAUAGUGAAUUUUAGAUACCCAUUAAACUUGUUUGGCCAUGUAUUCACUUGAUUGUUACAUUCAGCUGCCAUUUUCAUGGUGGGUUUGUAAGAUAGUCUCUGACUAACAUAUGUCAUUGAUUAUGAAUGAUGGUUUUGUGAGAUACACCAUAUAGACGUUAACUUUGUCAAGAUUGAUAUCUCUUCUAGAUAUUCAAACUUUGAAUAUCAAAUUUAAAAUUCUAGAUAUUCAAAGUUUGAAUAUCAAACUUUGAACUUUGAAUUUUGAAAAAUAAUAAAUAAUUGAAAAAAAUACGUGAAUAGUAGCCAAGAUUUUGGCUAUAAAUAGAGGGGCUCAUUCCCUCAUUUGCUCAUCCAAUUUUGAGAAGAGUUUUCUUGUAUUUAGAGAGAGUUUAGAGAGCUUGAAAUUAUAAGCUCUUGUUUUAGUGUUUUAAGAGUUUGGGUGUAUUGGGGUUUUGGGAAGUGAGCUAAAAUACUAUAAUACUUGUAACUCAUUUUCACUAGUAAACUAUUUUUCUUCUGUCUUCGCCCGUGGACGUAGGCUAAAAGCCGAACCAUGUAAUUUCUGGUGUCCUCUUUUAUGCUUGUUCUUUAUUUUCUUCCAAUUUCAUUUUAGCUACGGCCCUGCUUCACCCAUCAAUUUCCUAACAGUGGUAUCAGAGUUAUUGGUUGUAUUUUUGGAGUCGGGUACUAUUCACGUAUACGGUACUGUUCAGGUAUACGAUAUUAUUUAUGUAUACGGUAUUGUUCACGUAUACGGUAUUGUUUAUAUAUACGGUACUGUUCAUGAGAAACUGUGGGAGCGAUCCAAGAAUUUUGCGGUGCAAAGCAGGGAAUAGUGGUGUGAGUAAAGCAACUGUGUGAUUUUGUACAUGUCUAGGAAAGUUCUGUCACAAAGGCGAUAAGAACUUAAGGAGUCUGGAUUUUAAGUGGGACCAUUGUGACCCCUCCAGUCUUUCUUGGGAACUUUCCUGGUGUGCAUAUUCACACAUAUUCACACGUACUCACAACUAUUCGAGGUGAUACACUAGUUUGUGUACAAUAUUUAUCAACAAAAUGGCGGCAAAGUAUGAAAUUGAGAAGUUCUACGGGAAUAAUUUUUCGUUAUGGAAAAUGAAGAUGAAAGUUGUAUUGAGGAAAAAUAAUUACUUGGCAACAAUUGGAGAAAGGCCCAUGGAGAUAACUGAUGACAAGUGGAACGAGGUAGAUGGCAACGCCAUUUCUGAUCUACACUUGGCACUUGCUGAUGAAGUAUUAUCCAGUGUGGCAGAGAAAAAUACAGCGAAGGAAAUAGAGAUACUCUCACAAAAUUGUACGACGCCAAGUCACUACACAACAAAAUCUUAUUGAAGAGAAAACUCUAUACUCUUCGAAUGGCGGAAUCUACAAUCGCGACCGACCACAUCAACACCUUGAAAACUCUAUUUUCACAACUCACAACGUUGGGUCAUAAUAUAGAAGAGAAUGAACAUGCAGAGCUUCUACUUCAAAGUCUACCAGAUUCGUAUGAUCAACUCAUCAUCAACCUGACGAACAACAAUCCAACGGACAGUAUAGUUUUCGACGAUAUUGCAGCCUCCGUAUUAAAUGAGGAGAGCAGAUGGAAAAAUAAGGAAAACAGACAAGCAAGUUCGCAGCAAGCGGAGGCGCUAUCGAUGACGAGAGGGAGAUCAACAGAACGUGGCCCCAGUGGGAGUCACAAUCAUGGUAGAUCAAAAUCUAGAAGUAAGAAGAAUGUUAAAUGCUAUAAUUGUGGCAAGAAAUGGCACGUCAAGAAAGAGUGUUGGAGUAACCAGAAGAGAAAAGAGGGUAAAGAUCAUGAGUCAUCAAAUGCUCAGGGGUGUGUAGCAAGUACCUCGGAUGAUGGUGAAAUUCUCUACAGCGAGGCAACAACUGUUUCAAAAGGCAGAAAAUGACUAUUUGAUGUCUGGCUUAUAGACUCAGGAGCUACCUGACACAUGACCUCUCGAAGAGAAUGGUUCCACACAUAUGAACCUAUCUCAGGAGGAUCUGUAUAUAUGGGUAACGAUCAUGCCUUGGAGAUCGCUGGUAUUGGUACUAUAAAAAUAAAAAUGUUUGAUGGUACAAUUCGCACAAUUGGGGAGGUACAACAUGUCAACGGUCUGAAGAAAAAUCUAUUGUCUUUAGGACAAAUGGAUAGUCAUGGGUACAAAACUCAUGUGGAGAAUGGAAUUAUGAAGAUCGUUAAAGGCGCGCUUGUAUUGAUGAAGGCAGAAAAGAUCGGUGCUAAUUUAUUCAUACUUAAAGGAGAAACGCUACAAGAGGCUGAUGCGUGUGUCGCGUCAAAUGGAAAAGAAUCAACAAUGAUGUGGCGCCUCAAAUUUGGCCACAUGUCAGAACAAGGUUUGAAAAUUCUCUCUGAGCGAAAAUUGCUUACAGGGCUCAAAUCGGUAAGUUUACCAUUUUGCGAGCAUUGUGUUACAAGUAAGCAGUAUAUAUUAAAAUUCAGUAGAUCUGUUGCUAGAAGUAAAUGCAUUCUAGACUUGAUUCAUUCUGAUGUUUGGGAAUCACCGGAUAUGUCCAUGGGAGGUGCAAAGUACAUGGUGACUUUCAUUGAUGAUUAUUCCAGGAGAUGUUGGGUGUAUCCAAUUAAGAAAAAAGUCAUAUGUAUUUCCAGUGUUUAAAGAAUAUAAAGCGCGGGAGGAACUUGAAUCCGGAAAAAAGAUCAAGUGCUUGAGGAUGGAUAAUGGUGGAGAGUAUACAGACGGUGAGUUUCUUACUUUUUGUAAGUAAGAAGGUAUUCAGAGGCAGUUCACGGUGGCAUAUACUCCUCAACAAAAUGGAGUGGCAGAGCGGAUGAACAUGACUCUUACAGAACGAAUAAAAGCUAUGUUGAGGACUGCAGGUCUACCUAAUUCAUUCUGGGUAAAAGCAGCCAAAAUUGCCUGUUAUAUAGUAAAUCAGUCGCCAUCUACAGCUAUUGGGCUGAAGACAACGAUGGAAAUGUGGAUUGGAAAGCCAACUGAUUACUAAUAUCUACAUGCAUUUGGAUGUCCUGUGUACGUGAUGUACAAUGACCAAGAAAGAACAAAGCUGGAUCCAAAAUCUAGAAGAUGUAUCUUCUUGGGAUAUGCUGAUGGAGUAAAGGGGUAUCGUCUGUGGGACCCCACUACCCACAAGAUCGUCAUCAGCAGAGAUGUUAUCUUUGUAGAAGAUCAACUGAAAAUGAGAAAUGAGGAUAAUAGCACUGUAAAAGAAAAGUCAGAGACUGUACCGGUGUAUGUGAAAAAUAAUCUGGAAAAAGAAGAUUCAGAUUCUUCUAAAGCAGCACCAGAGCACGAGGAACAAGAACCAGUUGAGUCCGAGGCUCCAGAAGUUCGUCGGUCAACUUGUGAGAGACGACCGCCAACGUGGCACUCGGAGUAUGUCACAGAGAUCAACGUUGCAUACUGUCUUCUAACAGAAGAUGUAGAGUCAUCAACUUUCCAUGAAGCUUUAAACAACUCAGAUGUUACUUUGUGGAUGAUAGCAAUGCAUGAAGAAAUUGAAGCUCUACACAAGAAUAACACAUGAGAACUUGUACCACUACCACAUGGAAGAAAAGCCAUUGGUAACAAAUGGGUCUACAAGAUCAAGCGUGAUGGCAAUGACCAAGUGAAGCGGUAUCGUGCAAGAUUGGUGGUGAAAUGAUAUGCUCAGAAAGAAUGUAUUGACUUCAACGAGAUAUUUUCUCUGGUAGUUCGACUCACGACAGUCAGAAUAGUCUUGGCGAUGUGUAUUACAUUUGACUUACAUCUUGAGCAGUUGGAUAUGAAAACUGCAUUUCUUCAUGGAGAACUUAAAGAAGAAAUUUAUAUGCUUCAACCAGAAGGCUUUGCUGAAAAGGGAAAUGAGAACUUGGUUUGUAGGUUGAACAAAUCUUUAUACGGUCUCAAACAGGCGCCGAGAUGUUGGUAUAAGAGAUUUGAUUCCUUCAUCAUGAGCCUUGGAUACAACAGACUCAGUUUAGACCAUUGUGCAUAUUACAAAAGGUUUGAAGAUAAUGAUUUCAUUAUUUUGUUGUUGUAUGUGGAUGACAUGUUGGUAGCAGGCCCCAACAAAGAUCGAAUCCAAGAAUUGAAGGCACAAUUGGCUAGGGAAUUUGAAAUGAAGGACUUGGGACCAACAAACAAGAUUCUAGGGAUGCAAAUUCACCGAGACAGAAAUAACAUGAAGAUUUGGCUUUCUCAGAAGAACUACUUGAAGAAAAUCUUGCGACGCUUCAACAUGCACGAUUGUAAGUGAAUUUUUACCCCACUUCCUGUUAAUUUCAAGUUAUCCUCAAGUAUGUGUCCUAGCAAUGAAGCAGAGAGGAAUGAGAUGUCUCGAGUACCGUAUGCAUCAGCAGUGGGAAGUUUGACGUUCGCUAUGAUAUGUACUAGACCAGACAUUGCACAAGCAGUGAGAGCAGUUAGUCGAUACAUGAUGAAUCUUGAUGGAGAGCAUUGGAUAGCUGUGAAGAGGAUUCUGAGAUACAUCAAAGGAACCUCCGAUGUUGCAUUAUGUUAUGGAGGAUCAGAGUUUACUGUCAGGGGCUAUGUGGAUUCAGAUUUUGCAGGAGAUCUUGAUAAAAGAAAAUCCACUACUGGCUAUGUGUUUACACUUGCUGGAGCAGUUGUAAGCUGGGUUUCAAAACUGCAAAUCAUUGUGGCCCUAUCUACAACAGAAGCAGAAUACAUGGCAGCUACACAAGCUUGCAAGGAAGCUAUUUGGAUACAAAGGUUAUUGGAGGAGCUCGGGCACAAACAACAGAAAACUCUUGUGUUUUGUGACAGUCAGAGUGCCUUGCAUAUUGCAAGGAAUCUAACCUAUCAUUCCAGGACAAAGCACAUAGGGGUACAGUAUCACUUCGUUCGAGAAGUAGUGGAAGAUGGAAGUGUGGAUUUACAGAAAAUCCAUACCAAAGAGAACUUAGCAGAUGUUUUGACUAAGCCAAUUAUUGCUGACAAGUUUAUCUGGAGUAGAUACUCUUGUGACCUAGCAGAAACGUAGGCAACAUGACAAUGACGAAGCAGAAAGGAUGGUGUGGAGAUUGAUUGGUUCUCAAUCAAAUCUCCAAGUGGGGGAAUGUCAAGAUUGAUAUCUCUUCUAGAUAUUCAAACUUUGAAUAUCAAAUUCAAAAUUCUAGAUAUUCAAAGUUUGAAUAUCAAACUUUGAACUUUGAACUUUGAACUUUGAAUUUUGAAAAAUAAUAAAUAAUUGAAAAAAAAUACGUGAAUAGUAGCCAAGAUUUUGGCUAUAAAUAGAGGGGCUCAUUCCCUCAUUUGCUCAUCCAAUUUUGAGAAGAGUUUUUUUUAUAUUUAGAGAGAGUUUAGAGAGCUUGAAAUUAUAAGCUCUUGUUUUAGUGUUUUGAGAGUUUGGGUGUAUUGGGGUUUUGGGAAGUGAACUAAAAUACUACAAUACUUGUAACUCCAUUUCACUAGUAAAAUAUUUUCCGUCUGUCUUCACCCGUGGACGUAGGUUAAAAGCCGAACCACAUAAUUUCUAGUGCCCUCUUUUAUGCUUGUUCUUUAUUUUUUUCCAAUUUCAUUUUAGCUGCGGCCCUACUUCACCAAUCAAUUUUCUAACAAACUCGUAUUAAUGUGUACUUACUUCAUUCAAGAGAUUAGUGUUUUUCUCUCUUUUUUUCUAUAAAAAAAAAAAUUGAAAUGCCUUUUCGCAUUUUAUAGGUGAAAGGAAGAAACAUAAUAUCGCAGGACUAGAAUAAAGGAGCCUAUUCUGGUACCUAUUGUCCAAGGAAGCUUCGGUACAUUGGGUAGGCACUGCCAUGGAAGUCAAUCUUACCAGAGCCAGGCGGAGUCGUUCCUAAAGGAAUAUAUAUUAGCAUAUCCAUUUGUCCCGUACACUUCAAUUGUCGAUAGCAUUUUUGUUUGCAAGAUGGUAUGUUUUUUGUCGUUACUGCGUGGUGGUAUUUACUAGAAAAUAUUUUGAAUGCAUAGUUUUUAUUUAAUUAGUUAUAAAAUUUUUAUACCCUCUGUUUUCCAUAAGAAUGUGUUCCUUUUCAGGUCUAUUAUCUUGCCAAAUUGAUUAGUGCUGUUCAAUUUAAAUGUUAUUCCAAUUUCUCCAACAUACAGUGGGUCGAGUGGAGUAACAGGUGAUUGAAUAUUUUCAUUUAGUUCAAUUUUCAUUUCCUUUUCAAUCGGUAAAGUUUAAUCAUUUUCUUAAAUCGACAACUGAUGCAUGGCCAUAUCAACCGUCCAUGCCAUUUUUAUAACAGCAAUGCCUUUGUACUUUGUGUUUUGGUCGGAUCUCAGAGUUUCUUGGAUAAACAAUUGUGCAUCCUAUGAUCUAGGCAUGGUCGUUUGGACUGAACUAGUUUUUAAUAAAUAAUUGCCCAAGGAUUUAGUCUCAGUGUUACAGCCCAGUCUUUGUUGUCCAUACUCUUUCGCCCGUCGUGGAUGAGUGCCAUAACAGCUUCUUAGAUAGCGUUUACUUUUUGGAUUGGAGUGAGAAUCUUGAGAAGUGGGAAUCCUAGGAUUGGGAGUGUGGAGUGGGAGUGAGAGUAGGUUGUUUACUUACACUGGAAUGAAAGUAUGGAAUAGAGAUCAGAAUCCAAUUUAUGUGUUUACUUUGUCUUGGAUUGGGAGUAAAUAGUUUCAAAUUACAAUUUUAUCCUUAUGUAAAGAAUUAUAGUUUUUAAUUACAAAGUUAAUAAAAAAUAUAUUUAAUGAAUAAACAUUUAUUUUAUUAUAUUUGUAAAUUUAUAAUAAUUAUUAAUAUUCUUAAUUAUGAACAUCACAAUUUUUUUUAUAAUUUUAAUUAUAUAAAUUAAAAAUUGUUGAUAAGGGCAAUAUAAAUGAAAUAUUUUUACUAUUAACUUAGUAUGAAAUUAAUAUUUUCUUAGAAUAUACUAUUUAUUAGUAUUAAUUACUAAUAUUAAAUAAAUAUAAUACUAUUAUUUUUAAAUAAAUAUAAUAAUAUUAUAUUUUCAAAUAAAGAUUGUAUAUAGUAAUAUUAUUAAUUCUCUCUUAAUAUAAUAAUAUUAUUUUUAAGUAAAUUAAACUUAGAAUCAAACCCAAUUAUUAUUUAGUUAAAUAUAAUAAUAUUAUUUAAAUAUUUAUUAAAUAUAGUUAUAGUAAAUUUAAUAAAAAGAAGGGUAAAUAUAAAAUGAAACGUUAUUUUAUUUUAUAUAAUUAUAUUAAAUUUAUUAAUAUAAUAUUAUUUAGUACAAAAUUAAUAUUUUCUUAGAAUAAACUAUUUAUUAUUAUUAAUUAUUAAUAUUAAAUAAAUAUAGUACUAUUAUUUUUAAAAUAAAUAUAAUAAUAUUAUAUUAUUAAAUAAAGAUAGCAUAUAUUUAUUAAUUCUCUAUUAAGAUAAUAUUAUUAUUUUUAAGUAAUUUUAACUUAUAAUCAAUGUAAAUUAUUAUUUAGUUAAAUAUAAUAAUAUUAUUUAAAUAAAUAUAAUUAUAAAUUAUUUUAUUUUAUUAAAUUAAAUUAAAAACAAAGGGUAGAAAAGGGAGAGGUGGGAGUGGGACCAUGGGAGUCCCACUCCCACUCCCCACUCCAAAAAUGGAUGGGGCCCACGGAGUGAGAUUCUCAAUCCCUCUCUAUUUUGUUGAAGUAAACACUGGAGUAGGAGGAAUCCACACUUCUCACUCCCACUCCAGAAAGUAAACACUGCCUUAAUGUUUUGAAGUGGCUUUUGCACGGUUGUUGUUUCCUUCUGAAGCUAUAGAGUAGCUAUGGAUAUAGCAGAUGCAGAUGCCACUAAUUUUUAUACUGGCCUUUCAUCAUCAAAAUGAAAAGGAUCAAGCGGGAACUUAAAAGAAGGUUGAUUUGAAUGAAACACCCUCUAUGCAAGCCAAGAGACUCCAAUUAAGACUGCAAGCUCUGCUUAAAACAGGUAUUUAUAUACCUUAUUAGUUUUUGUACCUUUACAAUUAGUGAUUUUUGUAUCAAAAGAGAGGUUAAUUUUUAGUACACAAGUGCGGCUCUUCCUCUAGACAACUGCCUAGAGCCCCACUAUAGAUGAAGACCCCAAAUUUUUCUCUAACAUUAUAGCUAUUAAAUUAUUCAUUUAUUUUUAUUUUUAUUUUUAUUUUUAUUAUUCUAUAAUAAUCUUUGUUCAAAUAAAUUAUCAAAUCCCUACAAAAUCUCUUUUUAAAGUUGGAAUAAACAAUGUUAAUCCUAUUUACUCCUACAAAAUCUCUACUUAAUGUUAUUUCAUUUAAAACUCUAUAAAAGUCACACAUUUGUUAACUUGUUAUCCAUUAAUAUUUUUAUUCAUUAAAAGAAAAGCACGAGACAUUCAAUGCUUCAAUUCAUAAGGAAAAAAAGAAGCUUUUUUUAAUUUUUACUUAAGAAAAAAAUUAACUAUUUUCAUUGACCGCUGCUGUUUAAAACUUCAAUCCAUCAAAAUUAGAGUUUCAAAUAUCCAAGUUUUAUUCUUCCUAUUCUCUUCUUAAUCAGUUGUGUUAUUCAAUUGUUAUUGUUUCUUUUUUAAAUAUUAUUGUUGUUUUCUUUUAAUUAUCCAGCAUAAUUGUUUACUUGUUUUCUCUUCUUUCACUAAAAAAAGAAAAAAAUGUCUAAUAGAAAAUGUGCAUCAAGAUACAAAAAACUUGGGAAAAAAGAGAAGAAUAAAAAAGUAGUUCGAUCUAAAAAAUGAGCUCUUGAUAAGUUUGUCAAAAAUAGUAAAAAAAGAUAUGAAUUAUAGUGAGGAAUUAGUGAUUGAUGAAGUUUUUCAAAAUUAAAAUUAAUAAAAAUUUAUUUAAGAUCAAAUAAGUCGCAAGAAAAGUUAAAUGAUUUAGCUAUAUUGAGAAGAAUGUAUUAGCGAAAUUAGAAAUAAAAAUUUGAGCAAUAAUUUUGCACCUAAGAAAGCUAGAAAAUUUGAUUUUAAAUAAAUAACUUUUUAGUAAAACAAAUACAUAUAUUUGACCUCAAAUUUUUUAAAAGGCCUAAUUAAAGCAAUUCAUCUAAGGCCCCAAAAUUAGUUGAGCCGCCCCUAUUAGUACAUUCAUAUCUCAACAAAAUGUUAGAACCUUUGUAGCACUAGAGACAUUUUCUUAGAGCAUUUACUGACCUUUCUAUGAUUGCAGUGGAGACAGGUCGACGCUACUUCCCUCAUUGCUCAGAAGUGGUUGAUAAGUUUUUGGAUUGUGAUUGGUCCGAUUCUUCCCUCCUAGAAAAGGGUACUCCUGAAGAGCAGAAACUCAAAAGGGCACGCUUCAUGAAACUUAAAGAAGACCUGAAGAAGGCAUUUUACAAGGACAUGGCUGAGAAAAAUCCCUCAGGUCUGUCGUCAUCUUCUCCGAAGGAAGGAGUAAAGUGUAAGGGUAGGAAAAGGUGAUGCUUAGCUGCUUGUCUUUGUUAUUCAUUUAUAGGCAACUAAGUGUUUUAGUGAGUUUGGUUGUUACUUGUAGAGAGAUACUCUUAGGGCAUAUGUUAUGGUUAUGUUGUAUAAUAGCAGAGAAACUUUAAGCAUGCAUUGUUGUAUUUUCCCAGAUAUUUGGCUUGUAAUACACCAAAUGACAAAGAAUUUUCUAUUUUUAGAGGGGAAAGUUAUGUCAGUUAAUUAUUUAUUUAUUUUGUCUGUCUAAUUCAGUUUACAUAGCUUUUUUUUUUUUUCCUUUCCAAAAAAAUCUGCAUAUCUUCAUCUGCAAUUUAAGUCAUUGGUAACUUCUUUCAGGGAGGAAGGAAAAAAAAAAAGCAUUUGUAAGUAUAUUUUACAGUACUGAUUUUCCUAAAAAAUUAGUUAAGGUGAGAUUAAUGUUCUUUGAAAUAGAUGGAUAUGCAGAAUCUUCAUCGAAAUUGAAAUUAGAAAUGGAUGGAUACGAGUGACUUAUAUUAAGAAUUUUUUAGUAGAAUGCUUAUAGAAAAAUUUGUAGCUCAUUACUCUCUAGAAGGAAAAUAAAUUUUAGAUUGUAAAUAUUAAAUAUUAAAAUUAUAAUAUAAUAAAUGUGUGACUUAAGGUGUACAAUACCCAUAUAAUAAUAAUUAAGAAAAGAAAAAUCAAAUUUUGUAAAUUACCAAUUUUCUCUUGAAAUUUGAUAUUCUAUAUUAACGUAGGUGUUGCAUGGAGUGGGCUAGUACAACUGAAAGAAACUAACUAAAGUAAAAAAAAAAAUAUCAGAAAAAUACGACGAGCUUCUCAUAUUUUUCAAGUAAAAAAAAAAACUAAAAUUAAUUAUUUUUAUAACCAAAUUCUAAUGCUUGAAGGUUGCUGGAAUUGACCAUUGUAAUUUUGUCAUCCUCGUUAUUCACUGGCCAUCGUAGCCUUCCUCCAUUAAAAUGAGAGUUGUUUUUCGGACCACGACGUAAUAAAAAUAAUAUCGAUUAAUACUAAUAAACCUAUUUUGAUUAUUUUGUAGUGUGAUGGUCUAGUAAGUAUCAGUACUUAUCCUAGCAUCCGAACAUGUGAUAAAAUUAUGCGAGUCUCUAUAAAAUACUAUUUAAAUUAUGUAUUAACUAGACAGUUCUAUGUAGAUAUUUCGUAUAUAUUUAUGAUAAUUGUUGAAAAAAAGAACGUAAAAUGAGAUUAAUGAACAUUCAUAAAUGUGGAAAUUAACACAACUAAGAUUUAUGAUGAAAUAAUUUUAUGUCAAAUGAGUGUAAGUGAAUGGAUGUUAAAAUAACUUGUAAUAUAUAUUUUUUGAACUGUUAUUUACACAAGUUUGCCACCAACAGUAAAUUAAAUUAUGAAUAUUUUAAUAAUUCAAGAUCUCAUUCGAUGUUUAUAGUAUUUUUCAGAGUACAAAAUUGUAAAUGGUCUCACCCUUCAUAGUAUAAUGCUAAACCUUUUAAAAAAUUUAUUCUAUUAUAGACGUAUUAGUUAGUUAUAUUAUAUUAUAGACAAAAUUGAAGCUAAAAAUAGUACUUCAUCUAUCAUACAUUACUUUAAUUUUUUUUUUAUCAAAUUAUGAGCUGGUGAAAGGAUGCAACAAAUUACGUCAAACAUUGUAAAAUUUAUCAAUCACUAAAUAAAUAUCAUGUUAUAUGUGUGUGUGUCUCUCUCUCUAUCUAUAUAUAUAUAUAUAUAUAUAUAUAUAUAUAUAUAUAUAUAUAUAUUACACAAAAUCUGAUUCUCAUGAACUAAAAAGACAGGCUUUGGAUGAUGUAUCAUACUCAUAAAUCUAUUUUUAUUAAUGAUUAUACAAACAUAUCUUUUUUUUUUUCUUUUUUUUUGUGUGUUGCUUUUGAUAGAAACAUAUGAUUCACCUCUGUUUCUCCGAUGCUUGCUUGCUUCAUGAUUGGUCAACUUGGGUCAAACUUUCGUCUUUAAAUCACAUAGGUAGAUCAUGAUUCAAGCUUCAGUUAUAAGCCUUUCAUUGUGACUGGUAUUAUUCUUUCUUGAUGUACAUAUAUAUAUAGAUUCAGUUUGAAUGUGGUCCUUGAUAGUUUCAUGGAAAAUGCAAACGAAAUGUCAGCAUCUUUGAGUUUUGUCUCAUCAUAUCCGUCUUGUUGGUCUACUAAUCAACCAACAGGCUCUGAAACUUGCUCUGAUCUUGAUAAUUUUAACUUAAGGAGGCAAAGCAGCAAUCCUGAAGAGCCAUGGCUUGACGCUGAGAUUGUCGUUGAGGGCAAAUCAGUGGCAGUUAAUCGCUGCAUAUUGUCUGCACACAGUCAAUUUCUUCAUUGGCUUUUUAAUUUGAGAAAUGAUGGUUCUGUGAGUGAGGGGAAACCCAAGUAUCUUAUGACUGAUUUGGUGCCUUAUGGGAAGGUUGGAUAUGAAGCGUUCAAUGAUAUCUUGCAUUAUCUUUACACUGGGAAGGUUAAGCCAUCUCCUCUAGUAGUGUCCACGUGUGUUGAAGAUGCUUGUGCUCAUGAUGCUUGCCCUCCUGCUGUCAAUUAUGCUAUUGAGUUGAUGUAUGCUUCUGCUGCUUUUCAGAUGAAGAACUCGUUUUGCUUUUGCAGGUAAUUGUGCUUCCCUGCUAUUUGUAUUGCUUAAAUUUAUGCUUCUUGGUAUAGUUUUAACAUUUAUGGAAUUGAAAUCAAUUUCAAUUGUGACUUGCAAAGAGCCAAAGCAAGUAAAUGUGAAGCAACUUCAGUGAUUCGCAAUAUUAGUCAUCGCAGGAGAUCCAAAAUUUGUAGAUACUGUAGAAUUGUAGAGCCCAAAACUUCAUCUUAUCUUGCAAGAGUUUGUUGUUUUAUUUUCAAAUAGACAAAAAAAAGAUGAUGAUGGGCAGCGAACUCUAGGGAUCAAUGCUUGCUGACACUGACACCCAAUGCUUGAUGUCUAGCUUGCUUAUUUUUCCAACAAUGACACUACCUUUCUAGUAAAUGAAAUAUUAUUCUACAUCUAUAUAUUGGAACUUUGACAAACUUCGCUUUUCCUUUGUUGAUUCACUGGUCUCACUUUUAUUCAAUUGCCCGAUUAUGAAAUGGUCUAUUGGAGACUAGCAUUGGAAGGUUUCUUGUGGAAAAAGUUUUACUUGACCACCGAUUUUCAUUUUGGUGGGUGUCAGCGCAUGCUCUGGCUUGACUAUUCUGUUAUUUAGGUUGUUUUAUCUGUAUCUUCUCACUCACUUGAUAGUUAGUUCUCUCAUGCUUCCAAGCUCAAAGAUGAAUGCAAGAGAUUCUCUUUUUCCCCUCUAGACUAUAACCUAUCAAAUCAUUAAUGCUAUAGAAUAACAUCUUGUGUAGGCGGGCUUAUGUGUCUGAACAUUGGUCCAUCGGCAUUUUCAAUAAGCAUGGCACUGAUUUUUCGUCUCAUUAUUAUUUUCCUGCCCAGAUUGUCCCCUUUACCCAGAUUGUCCCCUUUAAGUAACAUAUUGAAGGAGAGCAACAUUCUUAUAUAUGUUUUAUGAUGUUUACCAAUAAUUACCCACCACGCGGUAUUUGAAUUUUGAAUGUAUUAUUCUGACUCAAAACUCUAUCUGUCGGUGUAGCUUCGUCUUCUGAACUUUGUUGAGAAGGCUUUUGUGGAAGACGUAAUCCCAAUCCUUGUGGCUGCCUUGCAUUGCCACCUGAACCAGCUUCGUUCUCUCUGCAUCCACAGAGUUGUAAGGUCAAAUCUUGACAAUAUAUAUCUCGAGAAAGAGCUUCCUGAGGAAGUUUCAAGUGACAUCAAAUCACUUCGUUUCGAAUCUAACCAGGAGUCUGAAGCUAACAUAGCAGAAGUGGAUCCUCGAUAUGCAAAAAGAGUCAGAAGAAUCCACAAGGCACUGGACACUGAUGACAUUGAACUGUUGAAGCUUCUUCUGAAUGAAUCUGAUGUCACUUUAGAUGAUGCUUACGCUCUGCAGUAUGCUGCUGCCUAGUGCAACCCUAAGGUUUUAAAGGAAGUGCUCAAUAUGGGCUUGGCUGAUCUCAAUCUUAAGGAUGCAAGAGGACGUACGGUGCUUCAUGUGGCUGCAAGGCGUAAGGAGCCAGCAGUGCUGGUGACCCUGCUCAGCAAGGUAGGCAUGCGCAUCAGAAACUACAUUAGAUGGGCAAACAGCUUUAGCAGUCUGUCGGAGAAUGACAAGGCGAAAGGAUUAUAUUGAAGCUGCAAAGCAGGGGCAGGAAACUAACAAAGACCGGUUUUGCAUUGAUGUCCUUGAGAGAGAGAUGAGAAGGAACUCCGUGUCUGAGAACUUGGCAAUGUCAUCCGAGUUGAUGGAUGAUGAUUUCCAAAUGAAGCUGGACUAUCUGGAAAAUAGAGGUGAUAUUUCUUUACUGGUAUUAGUUCAUCACAUUCUCAGAGUUGGUGUGUCCCUUCAUCUUAGCAUGUCAAACACGCAUGGGCUCAUUGCUUGCAGCACACUGUUGGCCAGUCAUGUGAUUUGUUCCACUUUUUUGGGAUAGACAAUUGUGAAUCUGUAUGAUCUAGGCUUGGUGGUUUGCACUGAACUAGUUUUCGAUGAAUAAAUGUACAAGAUUUUGUCAUCAAAACUGUUUUAUUUCCAAAAGUAACGAGGUACAAAAAAAUUUAUGCCUCUCCUGGAUGAGUACCAUAACAGCUUCUUAAUAUGUUGCAGUGGCUUGUGCACGGCGUUUUUUUCCUUAUGAAGCUACAGUAGCUAUGGAUAAAGCAGGUGCAGAUACCUCCAAUUUUGACACUGGCCUUUCACUUUCGGCAUUAAAUCCGAAGGGGGUUGAUUUGAAUGAAACACCCUCUAUGCAAGCCAAGAGGCUCCAAUUAACGCUGCAAGCUCUGCUUAAAACAGGUAUUUGUAUAUUUUAUUAACUUUUGCACUUUUUUAUUUAGUGAUUAUCUUUAUAAUUAAAUAAUAUAUGUAUCCAGGUUUCUCCUUCCAUUUCAUUAGUAGACUGGAAUCUCUUUAUAGUGCUCCGUUAGUGUAGUGAGAUGUAUCAAAUUGAGAAAGCGGGCUUGUUAGUACAUUGAUAUCUCGACAGAAUGGUAGAACCUUUCUUUACAUCACUAAAGACAUUUGUUGUAGUGAUGCCUACAUAAUCAGUGUCCUUUAAAACUUUCAAGGAGUUAGCAACGCCUGACCCUUUAAACACGAAAUCUCACGGGAUCAACUUUGUACCUCUGGACCUAAGGUGUGACACCCAGCCCCAAUUGGUGCUUAAAACACAUCUGAAUUUGAGCGAAACUAAAUGCUUGAAAAUCAAAUCUCCAAAAUAUCAAAAGAUCAUCUACUUUAUCUUUUCCUGCAUUUCACAAAAUUUUUAAAAAUUCACUCUCAAUCAUAAACUUUGCGCAGGUAAAUAAUAAUCAUAUCAGUAUACAACAAUACUUCCUCCCAAGCAAAUAAAUCUUACAAUUCUUCUUACAUGAUUUUUUUUUUAAAAAAAAAAAAAACUUCUAGAAGUCUUCUAAAUACAAACAUAAACAUAAUUCAACUGCUAAAACUACGCCAAAAUACAAGCUUCAAUCAGUAAUACAUACAGUGAUUAAAAACAUCUAGCCAGAAAAUUUAUGAAAGCUCAAUCUUUCUGAACCUUGUCUCCAAAAAUCCUUCAAAUUAAUAAUCGCUACUAUCUGUGAAAAGUAAUCGACAAAGGGUCAGUUGUUAACUCAAUUAGUAGAACCAUUCAUAAUGAACAAAAAGAAUUCUUUGUGCAAUAUUUUCAGAAGAUUCAUUUAACAUUUCAAAUGAAACAGAGUAAUUUUUCAAACGCAGUCAAGAUUUGUACAAAACAAAAGCGUUUCAGACAGAAGCUUUUUGGAACAUAAAUUUUGCUUUUAACAAAAAGUUAAACAUUAGUUGAUUUUAGAGGGAGGUUAUUGGCAAGUUAAAUUAGGCACUUGUGGUAACGGGUAAUAGCAAUUAUAAAAUCUCUUUUAAAACAAAUUCAAAUCGAGUUUCAAAGUUAGGAAGUACUUAAAUCAAAAAGGUAAAGAAUAAAUAAACUUUUCAUUGAAACAAAACUAUGUAAAUUCAUUUGAAAAAAAACAGGAUGCAAGCAUUACAAACGGGUUCUUGACCACACCGUGUGCAGUCAGAUCUCUGGGACCUUGUUAUUUAGAGACAAGACUUGAUUGUGCCAUGUUUUCCGCAGCCAGAUAUCUUUUACUUCAUUAUUUCCAAUAUGCCUAUUGAGAAUAAAUUCUGUAAACCAAGACUCUCUUAAGUUCUUUCAUCUUUGGCUAAUUAGUUAUAAAAUUUGUGAAUUUCAUGCUUCAUGGCCCUUGCAAAAUGUAUUUUAUAUCCUUAAGAUGCCAACGGUUGAAUUGAAAUAUUAAAAACUGAAAAAUAGAAUUAAUGCCGAUGGCAUUUCUUCAGAAAAGCAUGGGAUGUUUAGAAUUUUCUUAGAGCAUUUGCUGAACUUUCUGUGAUCGCACUCGAGAUGGGUUGGCGCUACUUCCCUCAUUGCUCACAGGUGGUUGAUAAGUUUUUAGAUUUAGAUUGUGAUUGGUCCGAUCUAUCGGAUGCUCUGAAAGAGCAGAAACUCAGCAGGCCAAGCUUCAUGAGACUUAAAGAAGAAAUGCAGGAGGCAUUCUUCAAGGACGUAGCUUAUGACCAUCGUUCAGGGCUGCCAUUAUCCACGUCAGCAUUUUACGAGGCUGGGAACAAUCUUUCAGGUAUGCCGACAUCCUCGGCAUCGAGUAAUUAAGCAUCACCUUUUCCUAAAAGUUAUACUUGCUACCUGGGAAACUAAAAGAGUUUAGUGAGCUCGAUUGGUACUUGUAGAGAUACCCAGAGCCUAUGUUAUGGCUAUGUAUUGUCUAGUAGCAGAGAAAUUUUAAUGAAUGAUGGAUGAUUUUCUUGUGACUCUUUUGGUAACAAUCAUGUAACGAUUUCAGUAACAUUAUCGCAAUUUUCUUUUUCUUCAAGUAAUCUGGCAUUUGUCAAUUAGAUUGUAGAAUUUAUUGUAUUGUCUCAAGUCCAGUGAGACACACGAACGUAUAACAUUUAUGGAAUGGAUCACAUUAUCAUGAACUCGUUUCAUAGAAUAUUUCUAAAUAGAAUUGUAUAAUUUACGGGAUAUGCUUAAAAAAUUGGGAAAAAAAAUUGUAUUACAAUUGGUGUGAGGCACGCAUGUGCAGUCGCAUCAGUUGCUGAACAAACUUUGCCUUUCAAUUUUGUAGACAUUGGGUGCGUUUGGGGCACGGGGCAGCUGCUCCCCACCCUAUAUUCUGGGGAAUAUUCUCCCAGAAUAAAAGGUGGGACCACAGCGCAGCUGCUCCAAACGCAACCAUCACCGUCUUAAAUUUUUUAUUACCAUAAAUGAGAUUAAGGUAAUUUAAAAAAAAAAAAAAAACUGGAGAUUUCUUUUAUUUUUCCUUUAAAAAUGAAGAAAAAUUUAGAAGGUAUUGAGAGACGGAGAAUUAAAGCAAUUUUAUUCACAAAUGUAAUGUGUUUGGUGCAGCAAUACAAACUAAUAAAUUAUAAUUUAUGAGAUUAGCUUACAGAAUCAUACAUAUAAAAUUAUAUUCUCUGAGUAAAAAUCUUCUCACCUCUUUUGACUUCUCAUUUAUAUGCCCUCUCUAAAAUCUCCCCAGCGAUAAACACAUUUUUAUAAAACAAAACAGAAAAAAUUAUAUAUAAUUGUCACAAGGACUAUUUGCACAUAGUACACAAUUGACCACUAAAGUUAUUUGGACUAUUUAUUCAUUUAUCAUGAAUUUUAGAUACUCAUUUAACUUGUUUGGCCAUGUAUUCACUUGAUCGUUACAUUCAGCUGCCAUUUUCAUGGUGGGUUUGUAAGAUAGUCUCUGACUAACAUAUGGCCAGAGUAUAUAUAUAUAUUGUUCUAAAUUUUAAGAAGAACUAAUUAAAAUCAUUUGCCUAAAUCCCUAAACAUGAUUAUAUAUAUAUAUAUAUAUAUUAGUUAUUUAUUAUUUAUUGAAAAUUAAUUCUUUAAACACUCGAAAAUGUAAAAUAUUAAAUAAAACUCUAUUCUACUAUUGCUAAUCCAUGAAAUUUUAAUUCAAUUAUAAAAUUUUCACUUAUUAUUUUUCUAACUCAAUUUACAUCCUUUUUAUUACUCCUUUUCUAGAUUACAUUAAUUUUCUUAUUCUCCUAUUUUCUAAAGUUUUUCAAUAUAGUUUUACUUCAAAAUAGAAAAAACAAGCACACACACAAAAAAAAAAAAGUAGAUGAAUAAAAGAAUAUAUUAAAAAGAAAUAAGAACAAAUAGAUAACACAAUUAACUAAGAGAAUAAUAAAAAGGUAAAACCUGAAAUUUGAGAUGAAAUCAUCAAUUAACUUUAUCUUUAUAUUAAUUGUUUGAGGAUUUGAGUAAUGACCAAUAGUCACAAAGAAUAGAGAAAACUAUUAGAUUUUUCCUUUUUCUUCUUGAGUAGAAAGUAGAGGAAGUGGGACUUUUUUUUCUUCUCUCUUUCUUUCUCUCAAACACUAAGAACAUAUUGUGUCUUGAUUAUUGGAGAAAAAAUUUAAUGGAUAAGUAAUAAAAUGUGGGGCUUUUAUAGAGGUUUAAAAUGAAUAUAAAACUUUUUAAUUAUAACAUAUUAAUUCUAACAAUGAAAUAGAGAAUUUGGAGUAUUGAAACUAUUAAUUUUUAUUAGUUUCGUAUGAAUUAAAACUACUAAUUACUACAUUAAAUAAAUUUUAUAAGAAUUUGAUAGUUUAUUUAGGAAAACAUAAUUACAAAAUAAUAAGAAAUUAAAUGAAUAAUAAUGAAUUUUAAAUUCACUUUCUUCUUUUGUGUUCAAAGUAAUCAUCUCAUGGGGCCUUCAUGUAAAAUGGAGCCCUAGACAGCCGUCUAAUUUGUCUAGAGGUCGAGCCGCUACUGCAUAUGGCAUUGAUUAUGAAUGAUGGUUUUGUGAAAUAUAUCAUACAGACGUUAACUUGUAUUAAUAUGUACUUACUUCAUUUAAAAGAUUAGUGUUUUUCUGCCCCUUUUCACAUUUUAUAGGUGAAAGGAAGAAACAUAAUAUCGCAGGACUAGAACAAAGGAGCUUAUUGUGGUACCUAUUGUCCAAGGAAGCUUCUGUAUAGUCGGUAGGCACUACCAUGGAAGUCAAAUCUUACCAGAGCCAGGCGGAGUCGUUGCUGAAGGAAUCUAUAUUAGCAGAUCCAUUUGUCCCGUACACUUCAAUUUUUGAUAGCAUUUUUGCUUGCAAGAUGGUAUGUUUUUCAUCGUUAUUGCACGGUGAUAUUUACAAGAAAAUAUGUUGAAUGCGUAGUUUUUAUUUAAUUAGUUAUAAAAAUUUUAUACCCUCUGUUUUCCAUAAGAAUGUGUUCCUUUUCAGGUCUAUGAUCUUGCCAAAUUGAUUAGUGCUGUUCACUUUAAAUGUUGUUCCAGUUUCUCCAACAUACAGCGGGUCGAGUGAAGUAACAGGUGAUUGAAUAUUUUCAUUUAGUUCAAUUGUCAUUUCUUUUUGAAUCGGUAAAGUUUAAUCAUUUUUCUUAAAUCGACAACUUAUGCAGGGCCAUAUCAACCGUCCAUGCCAUUUUUGUUACAGCUAUGUCUUUGUACUUUGUGUUUUGGUCGGAUCUCAGAGUUUGUGCGUAGCACACUUGUUUCUAUUGUUUGAUUGUCCCUUCAUAGACAUUUCGAUAAACUGUUAUUUUUGUUCUUUGGAAGUGAAUAUUUUCCGCAACUAGAACUCCGAAGCAUCUGGAAUGAUCCAUUUUAUGAUUCUUAAUACCUAUAAAAGAAUGUCAUAGAAAACAGUUUCCAAAGGAAGUUGCAUGUGGUUUGAAUUUGUCUUUGGAAGCCACUAAUUGCUUGGAGCACACUGUUAGCCAGUCGUGAUUCCAUCCACUUUUUUGGAUAGACAAUUGUGCAUCCAUCUGAUAUGGUCUAAACUAGUUUUUAAUAAAUAAUUGCCCAAGGAUUUAGUCUGAGUGUUACAGCCCAGUCUUUGUUGUCAAUACUCUUUCCCCCGUCGUGGAUGAGCGCCAUAACAGAUUCUUAAUGUUUUGCAGUGGCUUUUGCACGGUUGUUUUUUUCCUUCUGAAGCUAGAGUAGCUAUGGAUAGAGCAGAUGCAGAAGCCACCAAUUUUUAUACUGGCCUUUCAGCAUCAAAAUCAAAAGGAUCAAGUGGGAACUUAAAGGAGGUUUAUUUGAAUGAAACACCCUCUAUGCAAGCCAAGAGACUCCAAUUAAGACUGCAAGCUCUGCUUAAAACAGGUAUUUAUCUCAACAAAAUAUUAGAACCUUUGCACCACUAGAGACAUUUUCUUAGAGCAUUUACUGGACUUUCUAUGAUUGCAGUAGAGACGGGUCGACGCUCUACCGCAAUCCAUCUCUCUAUUUAUUUUUUGUUUGGAAAUGUAACAAUUUAUAGCUGGCAAAGUAAUAGAGUUGUAUACUUGUAUUUAAUUUAUUAUUAUUAUUAUUAUUUUAAUGACUCGGUAAUGUCAUUGUCCAUGGUGUUUUGUCAUUUCGAAAGUACUUUACCCCUUUGACGCUAAGGCACAUUACAGCAGCCGAAAUUUUGAGCUUUCAGUUCUUGAUUUUAGCGUGAGGGGUAUCUUUGUCUUUUCAGUAGUCAACACACGGUCGACAAAACAUUCUACAAACAAUCGGGGGGGAAAUCGGAGAUACGCUGAUACUUUCUAUCAAAAUGGAGAUACGCCAAACCUCAGGGGAGGAAACUGGAAAUUACCCCUUCGCGACCUGUGAACUUGGGUCAAAACUUUCAUCUUCAAACCUAAUAGGUAGAUCGCGAUUCAAGCUUCAGUUAUAAGCCUUUCAUUGUGAUUGAUAUUAUUCUUUCUUGAUAUAUAUAUAUAUAUAUAUAGAUUAAGUUUGAAUAUGGUUCUUGAUGGUAUCAUGGAAAAUGCGAACGCAAAGUCAGCAUCUUUGAGUUUUGUCUCAUCAUAUCAAACUUGUUGGUCCACUAAUCAAUCAACAGGCACUUGUGAUCUUGAUAAUUUGAACUUAAGGAUGCAACGCAGCAAUCCCAAAGAGACAUGGCUUGAAGCUGAGAUUGUUGUUGAGGGCAAAUCAGUGGCGGUUAAUCGCAGCAUAUUGUCUGAGCGCAGUCAAUUUUUUCGUCGGCUUUUUAAUUUGAGAAAUGAUGGGAAACCCAGGUAUCUUUUGACUGAUUUGGUGCCUCAUGGGAAGGUUGGAUAUGAAGCUUUCAAGGAUUCCUUGCAUUUUCUUUACACUGGAAUGAUUAAGGAAUCUCCUCCAGAAGUGUCCACGUGUGUUGAUGAUGCUUGUGCUCAUUUUGCUUGCCCUCCUGCUAUUAAUUAUGGUAUUGAGUUGAUGUAUGCUUCCGCUGCUUUUCAGAUGAAAGAACUCGUUGUUCUUUCGGAGGUAAUUGUGCUUCCCUGCUAUUUGUAUUGCUUAAAUUUAUGCUUCUUGGUAUAGUUUUAACAUAUAUGGGAUUGAAAUCAAUUUCAGUUGUGAAGCAACUUCGGUGGUUCCCAAUAUUAGGCAUUGUAGUAGAUCCAAAACUAGCUUAUUAAAAAGUGUAGAUACCGUAGAGCCCAAAACUUCGUCUUAUCUUGCAAGAGUCUGUUGUUUUAUUUUGAAAGAGACAAAAGUGAUGAUGAUGGGCAGCGAACUCUAGGAAUCAAUGCUUGCUGACACUGACUCCCAAGAAUCAAUGAGUCUGAAUUUGAUAAGUGCACCUAUCCUAUCACAAAAGCUUUUGCGUUGAGUUUCUAACCAAGGAAAAUUGUCACUUCUGUCUGUAGGCUUCAUAGAUUUGUUCAAGCCUUCAAGGAUGUCUAGCUGUUACUUACCGUCCAACAAUGGUGCUACAUUUCUAGUGAAUGAUAUGUUAUUCUACAUCUGUAUAUUGCAACUUUGACAAACUUCGCCUUUCCUUUGUUGAUUCACUCAUCUCACUUUUAUUAAAUUGCCCGAUUAUGAAAUGGUCUAUUGGAGACUAGCGUUGGAAGGUUUCUUCUGGAAAAAAUUUUACUUGACCACCAAUUUUCAUUUGGGUGGGUGUCAGUUCAUGCUCUGGCUUGACUGUUCUGUUAUUUAGGUUGUUUUAUCCGUAUUUUCUCACUCACUUGAUAGUUAGUUCUCUCAUGCUUUCAAACUCAAAAGUGAAUGCGGAUGCGAGAGAUUCUCUUUUUUCCCGUACAGGCUAUAACCUAGCAAAUCAUUAAUGCUGUAGAAUAACAUCUUGUGUAGGUGAGCUUAUGUCUCUGAACAUUGGUCCAUCGGCAUUUAGGUUCGAUAAGCAUGGCACUGAUUUUCCCCCUCAUUAUUAUUUUCCUACACAGAUUAUCCCCGUUAAGUAUUUGAAUUUUGAAUAUAUUAUUCUGAAUCAAAACUCUAUCUGUCCGUGUAGCAUUUUGUAUAUGUUUUAUGAUGUUUACCAAUAAUUACCCACUAUGGGGUAUUUGAAUUUUGAAUAUAUUAUUUUGAAUCAAAACUCUGUCUGUCCGUGUAGUUUAGGCUUCGGGACAUGGUUGGGAAGGCUCCUGUGGAAGAUGUAAUCCCAAUUCUCGUGGCUGCCUUCCAUUGCCAACUGAACAUGCUCCAUUCUUACUGCAUCCAGAGAAUUGCAGGGUCAAAUCUUGACAAUCUUUGUCUCGAGAAAGAGCUUCCUGAUGAAGUUUCAAGAGAAAUCAAAUCACUCCGUGUCAAAUCCAACCAGGAGUCUGAAGCUAAUAUAGCAGAAGUGGAUCCUAUGCAUGCAAAAAUAGUCAGAAGAAUCCAAAAGGCGCUGGACUCUGAUGACGUUGAACUGUUGAAGCUUCUUCUGGAUGUAUCUAAUGUCACUCUGGAUGAUGCUUAUGCUCUGCACUAUGCUGCUGCCUACUGCAACCCUAAGGUUUUUAAGGAAGUGCUCAAUAUGGACUUGGCUGGUCUCAAUCUUAAGGAUGCAAGAGGUCGUACGGUGCUUCAUGUGGCUGCAAGGCGUAAUGAGCCAGAAGUGAUGGUGACUCUGCUGAGCAAGGGAGCAUGCGCGUCAGAAACUACAUCAGAUGGGCAAACAGCUGUAGCAAUCUGUCGGAGAAUGACAAGGCGAAAGGAUUAUAUUGAAGCUUCAAAGCAGGGGCAGGAAACUAACAAAGACCGGUUAUGCAUUGACGUCCUUGAGAGAGAGAUGAGAAGGAACUCCAUGUCUGAGAACUUGGCAAUGUCAUCAGAGG